UACAAGCCCCCGACGCCUACUCCUCCGGCGUACAAGCCCCCCACCCCGAGCCCCCCGCCUCCGCCGUACCACCACUAAGAAGAUCCACCACUCUGUCAAGCUGGGAGCCCAGGUACGUGCAAACAACAUCAGUCUACAUUCUUGCAUGGACGCACCAUUUGUUCGAAUAGCACCAACUAACUCAGAGAACGUUUUUGUUUGCAGAAUGCGGUCGAGAAGAGUUGUGCGAGCAGGCCAAGAAGAGCCACGUACGGCGUCGUUGAUCCUCCUCCGGUGUGUGUUGCUGCCGAACUAGGGCCGAUCUCUCAGGAGAUGGAAUAAUGCAGAUGGCUCCCAUUAGUUUAUCUUACCAGCUUAUCAUUUGUGUUCGUCCAGUGUUAGCGUCUGUGUUGCUAGUGUGGCAAUGUGCCCGUGUCACUGUAAAACCAUUGAUCACCACGGAAAUGGAAGUAAAAGGUGUUGUUUCCUGUUGCAUGUAACGUGAUCGCGUCUCUGUUUUGCUGCUCUUCUAUCAUCUUGGCCUAUGGGUGACGUGAUGCGAUGUUUGCAUGUGAGGUUACAUAAAAUAUGUGACAUUGAGUACUACGCUCUGCUCGCACAGGCGCAGCAUGCAUGCCUGCAAGUCCUGCGGCGCAGUGAGCUGUCUUGCCCAAGCUACAGUAUCCCAUACCAGUGUUCUGCAGCAUAUGCCCAUGCGACACUUAAUAAAGAACAGCAAUAGGUCUUUGCCGUCUAGGUGCAUCCCCCAUGCGACACUUAAUAAAGAACGGAAGUAAUAGGUCUUUGCCGUCUUGACACCAAACAUUCAAAAGUGAAUCAAGAAGAAAACUUCCGUUCUCAUACACCCUUCAUACAUCCUAGUACCAAACACAUCUUUACUGUACCUGCACAGGCAUAAUGCUAGUACGUAGCAGAAUAUGCAAUGCGGGGCGGGUGAUCUGUUCUUUACUUCUAUUGGCCAUGGGUUGGUGCAAACUUACAAUCAAUUGGGUCAGUGUGAAACCUCGGCUGCUGGGGGUUCCAGUAAUAGCAUGCAUGAUGCCAACAGGUCUGACCGUAAUGAAUCGGAGGAGCCAGGUGAAAGAAGACAAGAAGAACAGUUGGCACAAUAAAUUAACUUGACAUGCUGACGAUGUGCUUUAUACAAAUCUUAUUUCCUUUCGACGUGCUAAAUAUGGCAAUCAAUCUCACAGAUAUGAAAACUUUGAUAUUUUGGUAUGCAUGAUUUGGAAAACAAAUGGAGCAGCAGACUGUUCUUAAAAAAAAGGGUUACAUUCAUUGUUACAUGAGUGAGAAUAUGGAAGUUUAUUUCAUUUUAUUAUUUUCUACUGGAGACUUCUCAUUGAGUUUGAAGUUUAAAUUCUGGUCUUAGGAUCGAUGUCACCGUUUUCCAAAUAGGAACAGUAUGGACAAAAUGAAGUAGUCCACCUUUCGUGCCUGCCUGUUCACACGUACUUCAUGGGUUUUCUUGGCCACAUGGGCAUGUCGAUUGGUGUCAGAGAUCCGUGGAUUUUACUUGAGGCCACCAUACUGUCAGCGACACGAAAAGGCACAAAACAUGCAAGAUAAAAGCUGGAGGAGAAAAGCAAGCGCGCGAACCAAGAAAGGCAAAUUAUUUUCACGGAAAUGAUGCUGCCCACAACUUCACAAGGAAAGUGGUUUUGCAAUGUCGUUCGUUUUUCGCUCGCGAGAAAUUCCUCACCUUCCCGAAACCAGGACAGAAGUUCACAAGAUGGCAAAGAUGGAAGGAAGGCUAGAGGACUUGAUUAUGAGUAGCAUGACUCUCCUCUAUUGUAACCAUUGUUCAACUAUCAAGGAGAUAAAAGGACCAUGUGCGAGCGGGCGAACAUGAGGAAAGACGCAGGAGGGCACUAGCAUGGAUUUGGUAGGUUCCUGUUGGACGUUAGCACGUUGUUUUGCUCAAGCAUUGACUUGAUACUACCAAAUGCAUCGUUUGAUAAUCAGGAUUUAGGCCUAUGUAGCACUCUAGCACAAGAAAGAAAACCAGCCACUACUCUCAAGACGAGGGCACGACAAACAAAACACUGGCGCUUGUAAGCUUACCGCGGCCUAUGAUUCUUUUUCUUUUUUAAUAAUAAAGAAACAAAAGGACGGCUCAUUUUAGGUAACUUGGUGUUACGAACCUGAACUUCCUUCAUGUACUCCCUUCAUUUUUGUAUACAAGGCCAUAAACUCAUAUUACAGAUACCAAGGCAAAAGUUAAUGUCUUCUAAGUCAAUGUUGCAAGUCAGCUUGUCUUUUUGUUUACCGUGUAAAUUAAUGUGUAUUCUUCUCUUUCAUGCACAUCAAACCAAUUCUCCCACUUCUGCAUGCGAGUACUAAGUAAAAGGGGAAAGAAACUGGUCGAGAGCCACCCCCAUUAGGGUUUUGAGGCAACACGGUGUGCAGAGCAGCUGGCCAAGGAGAUGGACACUGGACAUUGCUGUUCACAAGCGUGACGGAACCAGAAGGAUCCAGAAAAGCUACUGUAGGAGUAGAAAACAAGUGCUGGAUGGCUCAAAGUACGGAUCAGAACCGGGGCCAUACGAGCUUCUGCCAAGUGAGGCCCAUGAGGAUGAGGUUGUGGAACCCGCUUGCCACACUGAUACGAAACGUCCUUGAUGGAGCCCGGCCUCCAUUGAUCAUUUUUCGGCAGCAACCUUCAUUCACUCCUUCAUCCGGGAAAAACUCGGAAGGAGGAGUCGCGUGCGGUGCAGCAACAUUCAUUCCCUGUGCGCCCUGCUCCUGCUCUAUGAGCAAAAGGCUGAACAAAUUGAAAGCGUAUGAACAGAGCCAAGGAGCAUCAUCAAUUCAGUCACCUGAUUCACGUCGUCGGCAACUGCGCCCGCCGCUGACAAGCAGCAUCGGCAGUUGGGCCCGGGCUUUGACCGGCAAGCAAGGCGCAAAGCAACGAGAAAACCGGGGCGAGAGGGGCACAUGCAGACGCAUGAGCAAUUGAUUAUGGGAGUGCGAUGCGGAGAAUGAAACAAGUUCCCCAAAAGAAAAUGAAAACAAGAGAAAAAUAGUGACACAAGUUGAUGAGGCCGGCGAGCGCGAGAAUGGCGACAACCAAUUACAGAGAGUUCGGAGGGACUGUGCUCCCUUGGCUCCACGCUGCAAAUGGGCCACAAAAUGGCGAAGCUACGACGAGACUUCCGGCGACCACAGUCCACGCCAUGGAGCACGCACGUUUUUUUUUAACUACACGUCUUCGGUUUCUAGCACUUCUAGACUAUUCGCGACGUUUUCUAUUCCAGACUGAUUGCCCGUUUCCCUGUUCAUUUGCGUCUGGUUCCUUCCGUGAUCCAUCCGAUCCAAGGCGAGAUCAUGGAUGGUCCCAACUGCCGACCAAGCUUAACAUAAAGAAGGCUUUUGAUUCGGUGCGUUGGGAUUACUUGAUGGAUUUGCUGCGUCACCAUGGCUUCCCAAGUCGCUUCAGGGAUUGGAUCUCUGCCCUUCUUUCCUCGGCAUCUUCGCGUGUGUUGUUCAAUGGUAUUGCCGGUGACCCAAUUCGGGAUGGUCGGGGCCUUCGUCAAGCGGACCCUCUCUCCCCGUUGCUAUUUGUGCUCGCCAUUGACCCGUUGCACCACAUCCUUGCGAAGGCGACUUCUCAAGGUCAUCUUCAACCACUCAGAGGUCGACCCAUCCGUGCGUCGCUUUAUGCCGAUGACGCUGCCAUUUUCAUUGCCCCAAUAAAAAAUGACAUUCAGUUCCUGGCUUCAACUCUUGUAUCCUUUGGUGAUGCUACAGGAUUGGUCACUAAUUGUGCCAAAAGUGUAGUUGCGCCCAUUUGCUGCGGUAACAUUGACCUUGAUAACGUCCUGCAAGCCUUCCCAGCGGUUCGCUCCACCUUUCCUAUGAGAUAUUUGUGGCUUCCCCUUUCGGUUUCAAGGCUUAAGAGGAUUCACUUUCAGUUCUUAGAAGAUAAAGUUGCGGGGAAACUACCACCUUGGGUUGCCAAACAUGUGGCCGUGCCAGGCCGGGUUGUCUUGGUCAAGGCAGUGCUUACCGCCAUUGUUAUAUAUCAUAUCACGCCCCUGGAAUUGCCGGUGGAAGUGAGGAAGAAGAUUGAUAGCUUGCGGCGUGCCUAUCUUUGGGCGGGUUGCGAUAAAGUGACCGGCGGAAAAUGUAAGGUCAACUGGGAUCUCGUCUGCAAGCCCAAGAUCUUCGGUGGUUUGGGCAUCCUCAACNNNNNNNNNNNNNNNNNNNNNNNNNNNNNNNNNNNNNNNNNNNNNNNNNNNNNNNNNNNNNNNNNNNNNNNNNNNNNNNNNNNNNNNNNNNNNNNNNNNNNNNNNNNNNNNNNNNNNNNNNNNNNNNNNNNNNNNNNNNNNNNNNNNNNNNNNNNNNNNNNNNNNNNNNNNNNNNNNNNNNNNNNNNNNNNNNNNNNNNNNNNNNNNNNNNNNNNNNNNNNNNNNNNNNNNNNNNNNNNNNNNNNNNNNNNNNNNNNNNNNNNNNNNNNNNNNNNNNNNNNNNNNNNNNNNNNNNNNNNNNNNNNNNNNNNNNNNNNNNNNNNNNNNNNNNNNNNNNNNNNNNNNNNNNNNNNNNNNNNNNNNGAUGAUAGAGACCUGUUUGCGGCAGCCACCACAGUUAGUGUUGGAAACGGAUGUAAGGCGAAGUUCUGGGAAUCAUCUUGGCUGAACGGCAUGAGACCCAAAGAUAUUGCCCCAAAGAUAUUUGACCUCUCAAAAAAGAAAUCUACCUCGGUCCAAAAAGCUCUCCUCAACAAUCAUUGGGUUAGUCAGAUUGAUACCCAUCAUGGGCUCACCAUGGAGCAUAUUCAGGAGUUCGCCUUGCUAUGAGAAAAGCUAUCCUCUGUUACUCUCGACAAUGUUGUGCAUGAUACUAUCCUAUGAAAGUUCACGUCUCAUGGAGAAUACUCGGCGUCGACGGCCUAUAUAGCGCAGUUUGCGGGACACACGACAAGCAUCAUGCCUGCUGCUGUUUGGAAGGGUUGGGCCCCUCCGAAAUGCAAAUUUUUUGCUUGGUUGAUAAUUCAAAACAGAGUUUGGACAGCUGAUCGAUUGCACCGUCGUGGAUGGCCGAACUGCAACCUCUGCCCGCUUUGCAAGCAAGUCCAGGAAACCGCAGCACACCUUCUCUUCCAAUGCAGGUUCUCCCAGCGUGUCUGGAUCGAGGUUGCAACAUGGCUUGGUAUACAUGGUGAUGUGGUGAGGAGCUGGCGAAAUGAGGUUUCGGUUCGAGAAUGGUGGAUUAAAAAUGUGGUUGAGCGUGGAGAUAAGAGAAAGGCUAUCGCCUCCUUGUUCAUGCUCAUGUCUUGGGAGAUUUGGAAAGAGCGUAAUGGAAGGGUUUUCCGUAACAUCGCCGCUACGACGAUGAUGCUCAUCGCGAAGAUAAAAGAGGAGGCCCAUCUUUGGGCUAUUGCCGGUGCCACCCACUUGAGUAUUGUAAUGCCGCGAGAGUAGAUAUUUGUCUCCCACUUUGCGGUCGUUUGUCUUAAACCUUCUCCCUUAAUCAAUGAAAAUGGCAAAUCUUUUGCCUUGUUUCAAAAAAAAAAAAAACUGCCGACAAGGCUACGAUGUUCGCGCACUGGAUGGGCGUGUGCAGUGCCGCCGAUGAGUACCGUACCGACGAACGGCCCAACGUGAUUCGCUCGCCUCGAUCUAUUGCUUGUUGCACAGAUGCACUGAUGGGCACACACCAUUGUUCCCUGGAAAGAAAGAUGGCGCCCAUCUGCUCCAACGCUGCACUUUGACAGAGAUCAGUCACCAAGCACACAUGCAUCCACGAGGCAAGUGAUUCCGGCGGUGCGAUUUGCCUAAUCGUUCGGUUCCGAAAGCUUGAUGCGUGAUGCAUGCAUCGUGCACACGGAAAGAAACAUCUUUCGCUUUACUCCGGCCGUGUGACCGUGGCUGCACACACAACUGGCUAAGAAGACACUAUAGGGUGGGUGGAUCGGUGCUAGUCUAGCUAAGACACGCCCUGAUGCAAGGUUUAGGAAACGGGUGCAGAUCUCGCUGUCGUGGGAAUGCCCAGAUCUACCUAAACCAUCGCUUAGCUUUACCUGUAUCUUUUUCGGUUGACCGUGCCAGCAGAGGAUGCUGUUUUCAUGAGGGGUUUGUCCUGUUCCGCCUAAUCUUAACCAGACAUCUACCGCACAUCACAUGGCUUGAAGCAUAGCCAUUUAGUACAAUGGGACAGUAUGCUUUUUUUUGACAUGGACAGCGUUGCAGGAGCAGGUAGAAAUUUUGUCUCGUAAGAAAACUGCCCUUGGUGGAUCUGGAAGGCCUUAAAUUACGGUUCUAAUGUUUCCUCUUACUAAUUUGGAUCAAACCAGAAUUGACAGUGUGCUUCGUCCAACAGAUGAACUAGUGCUGCUUUUUAACACUGAACUACUGUUGCUUAAACCGCUGUGAUCACCAUCUUCCAAACUGCAUAAUAAGGCCCUCCACUGUGUAGGCCAAAAGUGGUGCCAAAUACACUUUUGGUUCAUUUGGCACCGAUGCCCUCCAUUGCCCAGCCGAUGCCAUAAUAUUUUUCCAGGGAACCGGAGCAUGUUGCUGCACCGAUGCCCACUUCUAGUAUUGCAAUAAAAUAUGUUAAACUGUGAAGGAUCAAGGGGAUGUGAUAGAGGAGGACUAGAGAACUUGUACGAAGGAUUGAGGGAAAGUUGGCUUGCUCCAUUUUUUAUGUAUACAUGUGGUCCGACUUUUCUAUGGGCUGCAAAGGCACAUAGUGUGACCGGUGCCAUAGAAAUUUCUCAGAGCAUCGAUGCCCAAUCUGUAAUAUUUUAAUGUACCGGGCACCGAUCACAUAGUGGAAGGCCUAACAGGAGUCAAACGCAAAUUCUUGUCUGCCCACCCGACGUCUUUUGCGUGGAUUGGUUUCGCCCAGACUACCGAUAAAGGACUCCCGCUGUCCUGUGUCCGGAGAGAAUUCUUCCGUCCCAAGACCUACCAUGUCAAAGCCCACCCUGUGUAGUUUGGUCCAAGCAACCCCACCCACACCCGCCAAGACAAACAAGUCUUGUAAGGUCCAAGCCAAUUAGAAUACCAGUGCUGUUCUUUUUUGUUAGAAUUCUACUGUCGAAAACUAGACUAGUUGACUAAGAAUUAGAUUCUCAAAAAAAAGUUGACUAAGAAUUAAGGUCCAUAAUAUUUAUGCUAACACUUGCAAAGAGUAAGCCGAAGAUAACUAACACGCAAAAAGGAUUACUGAACUAUGAAUUUUCUUCACGAAUAAGAGGUUUUUUGGAGAUAUGUCGAUAAAACCACCUUUUCCCCGAAAAAGAAGACAUUACUACUUGACACAAGGAUGAGAAACCACAUAUUUUAAUAUACAGAUGAAAAAUAAAGAUAAUUUAUAGUAACUAAUCAAGAUUCCAAUGUGAGGUUGGGAGGUCUGAUUUGAGGUAAACAUGGUCGCAAGGAGGCAUGCCAGUUUUUUUAUACAUGCAAAGCUUCUAAAUAAAUCAAGGUAUCUGCUAUGUCAUUGGACUGCUAGGACAUCUCUAGCAGAUUCCUCAUCCUGUAAUCUCAAAUCUUACCUUCUUUAAAAAAAAAUAGGACGGUUAAACUCUUUUCCCCAUCUAGCAGACCCCCCAAGCUUAAUCCCCCAAACACACUUCACCCCACAUGGCAGCCUCUCUUCACCUUAUUCUUCCUUCUUCCUUUGACAUGGCCAACGACCACUUCUCGCCACUGGAUGAUGCAGAUGAGCUAGCUAUGAACUAGGAUAGAUGCUCCGCAAAAGUACUUGAUAGAGGAUCGCCGUGCGCGAUGUAAGCGUUCGAUGAAGUAGUCGUGAAAGUAGGAGAAAUUCAUCCUCCAUGGGACAUGGUAUGGGUGUUUCUUCUUCUGAACGACUUCUUCCCCUCACUCUCCUAGUGUCUAGAUGGCGCGGUCCGGAAUACAAGAAUUCAUUGGAAUCAGUCUUGGCGGUCGGCGACCACUUUUAGGUGAGCAUUUUCUAUGUAAGUGUUGCUCCACAUAUGGUGCAUCUUUGCUCGUGGUCGAGGAUGACGGGAAGGAGCACCGUAAAAAAGUGUCAUCGUCGGCCGAACAUGACGUGAAAGAAAAAGAAUGAAGAAAAAAGUUCGCCGAAGACAUGGGGGAGGUAGGGUUGUGGGGAGGCACCACGACCUGCAGGGUGGGUCCGUGGGUAGCCAACGGCUAGGUGUGCGGGUGAGGCAGUGGCUACGGGAGGCAUGAGUUAUGUCCCUACUUUUGCCGAGGAUGCCAUUUUCUAGGAAAAAAAUAGGCCAGAGAGAAAACUAUGUUUUUGAGUAACUAAAGGUUUGUGGGAUCCGAUAGCUAGUAAGUCUCGGUUAUGAAACUCGUAAUUUUUCUUCAUACACACAGGCAAUAGCAGCGGCACCCUUCCAUCAAAGGCAAACGGAGUGGAGGGUACACCUGUGCUACACCCUUCACGAGUGAAGAGGCGGCACCUGCAGGUGUGCGAGUGGCCACGACGGCGAAGCAUAGGACGCAUUUGGUAGCCUGCAUUAGGCCUAGGCAGGCACGCGCAUGAUAAAAAUGGGCUGUUUGGAUGCUUGUGUUUACUGUUUGGCCCGCAUAGCACGAACCUCAAAGCACCCCUCAGCCUGGCCCGCUAGGAACGGCCGAAUCGACCAUUUCUAGCGAGCCAGGCUCGAGCGAUGCAGGGGAGGGGAAGGCCGUACUGUGCCGCGCAGCGUAGGGGAGGGAGAUGGCGGGAGCGAUGGCGCAUCUUCAAAAAAGCGGCGGAACGAAUUCGAGUCAACGCCCGUGGAUUCGGUCGCCCGUGAAUUCGAGCAAUCAUAGAAGACUAUAUGAUGGUUGAGUAUGUGGAGCUCUUACUUAGACUCUAUUGAAUAAGUUGAAUUGCAAUUGUUUGGUGACUAAGAAUAUAGGUUGUUGAGUUUCAAGAGAAUUUAUUGUUUGAACCUUAACAUGUGAAUCGGUUGCUACUUUGUGAUGAUGAGUUUUAUGAGAAAGAAUUGCUAUUAUGAUGCUAGGAAAAGUGAUUGAAAUUAUCAUUGAUCAAACUUAUGCACUUUGCUAGCAUUCACACUUCAUAAAUUAUUUCUUUUAUCAUUUACCUACUCGAGGACGAGUAGGAAUUAAGCUUAGGGAUACUGAUACGUCUCCAACCUAUCUAUAAUUUAUGAAGUAUUCAUGCUGUUAUAUUAUCAUUCUUGGAUGGUUUACGAAUAUUUUAUAGCAACUUUAUAUCAUUUUUUGGGACUAAACUAUUGGCCCAGCGCCCAGUGCCAGUUGUUGUUUUUUCUUGUUUUUUACAUCGUAGGAAAUCAAUAUCAAACGGAGUCCAAAUGCAGUAAAACUUUUUGGAGAUUUUUUUGGACCAGAAGACAUCCAGUGGGCCAGAGAAGCACCUGGGGGGCGAGGGGGCACAACCCACCAGGGCGCGCCUGGGGGCCCAGGCGCGCCUAGGUGGGUUGUGCCCACCUCGGUGGCCUCCCGCACCCCCUGUUCGACCUAUAAAUUGUCAAAUAUUCCAAAAACCCUCGGGGUUAACCUGGAUCGGAAGUUCCUCCACCACAAGCCUCUGUAUCCACGAAAACCAAUCUAGACCCUGUUCUGGCACCCUACCGGAGGGGGAGAUCAUCUCCGGUGGCCAUAUUCAACAUCCCGACGGCCACCAUGAUGAGGAGCGAGUAGUCCACCCUUGGGGCUGAGGGUUUGUACCAGUAGCUAUGUGUUUAAUCUCUCUCUCUCUCUCUCUCUCUCUCUCUCUCUCUCUCUCGUGUUCUUGAGAUGUCACGAUCUUGAUGUAUCGCGGGCUUUGUUAAUAUAGUUGGAUCAUAUGGUGUUUUCCCCUCUUUAUCUUGUUGUGAUGAAUUGAGUUUUCCCUUUGAGAUUUUGUUUUAUCAGAUUGAAUACUUUUAUGGAUUUGAGAACACUUGAUAUAUGUUUUGCAUAUGAAUACUCGUGGUGACAAUGGGGUAUCAUAUUGAUCUACUUGAUAUAUGUUUUGGCACUCAACUCGUGGAUUCCCGAGGUGACAUUGGGGUAAUCUAUUGUAGGAUCGAAAGUAUGUCUAGAGGGGGGUGAUUAGACUACUUGACCAAGUAAAAAUCUAGCCUUUUCCCAAUUUUAAGUCUUGGCAGAUUUUAGCAACUUAGCACAAGUCAAGCAAUCAACCUACACAUGCAAGUCUAAGAGUAUAGCAGUGGAAUGUAAAAACAUUGCACAUGAAGGUAAAGGGGGGAGUUUAAGGGAGCAAACGCAAUGUAGACACGGAGAUUUUUGGUGUGGUUCCGAUAGGUGGUGCUAUCGUACAUCCACGUUGAUGGAGAAUUCAGCCACGAAGGGUAACAGCUGCGAGAGUCCACGGAGGGCUCCACCCACGAAGGGUCCAUGAAGAAGCAACCUUGUCUAUCCCACCAUGGCCAUCGCCCAUGAAGGACUUGCCUCGCUAGGGUAGAUCUUCACGAAGUAGGCGACCUCCUUGCCCGUACAAACUCCUUGGUUCAACUCCACAAUCUUGUCGGAGGCUCCCAAGUGACACUUAACCAAUCUAGGAGACACCACUCUCCAAAUGGUAAUAGAUGGUGUGUUGAUGAUGAACUCAUUGCUCUUGUGCUUCAAAUGAUAGUCUCACCAACACUCAACUCUCUCUCACGGAUUUGGAUUUGCUGGAAAGAUGAUUUGAGUGGAAAUCAACUUGGGGAAGGCUAGAGAUCAAGAUUCUUGUAGUUGGAUUGUAAUAUCUUGGUCUCAACACAUGAGUAGGUGAUUCUCUCAGAAAAUGUAUGAUGGAAGUGUAGGCAUGUUCUGAUAGCUCUCUCCACGAAUGAAGAGUGGGUGGAGGGGUAUAUAUAGCCUCCACAGAAAAUCUAACAGUUACACAUAGUUUACCAAACUCGGUGGGACCGAAUCAUGAAACUCGGUCGGACCGAUUUAGUUCAAAAUGUGAACGUUAGGAUUUUCGGUGGGACCGACAUGUCAACUCGGUGGGAACGAUUUCAUUAAGGUUAGGGCAUAACGUAAUCUCGGUUAGACCGAUCACAUAAACUCGGUGGGACAGAUUUCUGUAAUAGGAAAACACAGAGUUGGUCAGGAAAACUCGGUGGGACCGAUUCGCUCAUUUCGGUGAGACCGAAACGUUAAGAAAAGGAAAGAGAGAGUUUGCAUUGCAAACUCGGUGUACGUGGGACCGAUCGCUCGUCUCGGUUGGACCGAAACGUUACGAAGGGAAACAGAGAGUUUGCAAUCCCAUCUCGGUGAGACCGAGAUCCCUAUCGGUGAGACCGAAUUGACUAGGGUUUCUGGCAGUGGCUAUGUCAAGUGAACUCGAUGGCGCCAGAUAGAUCAAAUCGGUUGGGCCGAGUUUGACUUUUGGUUUGGGACAUAAGUGGAUAUGAGAAAGUUGUUGAGGGCUUUUGGAGCAUAUCACUAAGCAUUUUGAGCAAGCAAGCUAUUAAGCAACACCUCAUCCCCUUUUAAUAGUAUUGGCUUUUCCAAUGGACUCAAUGUGAUCUUGGAUCACUAAAAUGAAAAUGUAGAGUCUUGAGCUUGAGACAAUAUGUGUCCUUAGCAUUUUGAGGGGUCCACAUUCCUUGUCCAUGCCAUGUCAAUCAUUGAACUUUCUGAAAUGAUCAUCUUGAAAGAGCAUUAGUUCAAUGAGCUAUAUGUUGUUAGGAAUUACCAAAACCACCCAGGAAUAAUUGCACUUUCAAUCUCCCCCUGUUUGGUAACUGAUGACAACAUAUAUAUCAAAGAUUUGUUAAAUGAUAAUAAGAAUGUAAUACAUCGUCGCUUUGAGAAGUAUGUGAUAUGCAAGAGCUCCCCCUAAAUUUGUGCAUUAUUGAAAAUUUGCUUUUGAAUGCAAAUGCACAAUCAAUUAGGAUCAUGGUUACUCUUCCAUGUCACAUACAUCUUGGUGGAGCGCUCAAAAUGAUAGAGUAAAAAUAUGCACUCAUCACCAAGGCAAAGUGAAUGAUCAUACAUGAGAGAUAAAAGAUAACAUCAUUCAAGCAAGCAUUAAGGUAUGAUAUGACCAAACACCUGAUCAUACAAGUAUCUCACACACAUAGACAUAGAGAAUUAAGCAAGUACACAAAAGUAUCAACCAAAUAGCAAAAGAGACAAAAGAGGCAAAACACUCUCUCUCGAAGCCUAUGAUCUAUACAUUUCUCCCCCUUUGGCAACACGUUACCAAUUUUUUUGGAAAUGCAUAGUGCUAUGCGUCUCUCUAGGCUUGAUCUUUGGGAGGUGGUGUUGAGAUGACUCCAAGGACGAAUGCAUCUGUUGAAGUUGAUGGAGUUGGUGGAGUUGCAACUGGAGGUGGCACUGAUUCUGUGGCUCCAGGUGCUGAUGAAGUUGCUUUAGUGUCAGCCAUGGGCGCUGCAGCAGAUCUCUGACCUCUUGGCACUCUUUGAAAGGCAUCUGUGGUAGCCUGCCCUUUCCUCUCCUCAGCUUCUUCUUGGAGCUGCUCCACUACUGUCGGCGUCCUGGAUAUGGGGGUAUCCAACCCUGCCUGCCUGCGGCCCACCACGUGGCUCCAUCGACGACCUGGUACGGCCCAGCUUCAGCAUCAACAGCACAAGACCCUCGCGAGGGGCCAAGCCGUGCGAGGCGGACGACGCCAAGAUCCCCGAGGGGAUCGGCCUCCUCAGGCUGGCUCCAGAGGAGCGGAGAGUUCUAUGCAAGGUUUACCUCACGAGGCUCAGCUGAUGUAAGCCAUGACAACCAAGGCCAGGCGGGCGCAGAGCGCGGGUUUCCUCUUCGGUGUAAAGGAGGUAAGCCACAGGCGUGGAGUCCCAAGGAAUCAGCCAAAGGUUUCCAUUCUGGUGCAAUGAGACCAAGACCGCCAGGACGACAGGACAGAGGUCAUCGAUGAGCCCAGCACCGCGUCACAACCAGAGGCUUUUCGCAGGCGAAGACUACUUUUUUCAGGAUAAACUGUACUACUUGUCCCCUUUCAAAUCCGGCCAUUGUGGGAUCCCUUCCCGCCAACAUUUGAGAAGAGGACCACGACCACUAUAAAUAGUACUAGCCACCACCGUAGAGGCAAGACAAGCCGAACUAGCUCACACCACACCAGCUCCCGCGAGCUCAAGAACACCUCACCUCUUGAGGCCAGUUCAUCCAUUGUACUAGUUCAUCCUCAGCCCUCUGAGGCAAUCCACCAAAACACUGGAGUAGGAUAUUACACCACAAGGUGUCCCGAACCAGGAUAAGCUGUUGUGUCCCUUUGUCCCUUUGAGCUCGACGCGCUAGACUUAGGAGAAUCGCGAGUAGGCAGGCUGGGUUGGUUGAGAUAUCCACACGCACCCCAGAGUUCGAACCUCUCAAGGGUUUGCGUAUCCCUUAAUCCGACAUUUGGCACACCAGGUAGGGGUGCGUCGGAUCUUCUCUUCCGUCGAUCGAUCCACGGCCACUCCGACACCUCCAUGGCUGACGCACGCCGAGCUCGCAUCGAGCAUCGGGCCGCAGUCGCCGCCCGCGUCGCUCAGACAACUCCGGCGGGCGAUGGUUGUGCCCGUCACGCUCCAUCUCUGGUGGCCAAUGCCGCCAUGGGCCCUGCCGGCCACGAGCAGCAAGCUUCAUCACUGCACCCGUCGGUGUGCCGUGACGGGUGCACCGCCACUCCAACACUCACCCAGCAGCUUCAUCCUCCCACGCGUGUCGUGGCUAGGCGGACGCGCAGGCCGCUCUGCUCAUGGCGCGAGAGCUCCUUCGCUACAGCCCGGUCAGUGACCUCUACGAGGAGUGGCUCGAGCGGAUCGCUGAGCUCGUCAGCGUCGCGCACGGGGCUCCUCCACCACCUCCGCCCCAGGGCGCCAUCAUCGAGCCAAGGCGUGUGGCGCCAUGGCGCGACCCAUCGCGCCCUGCGCCAGCUCAGGAGGACGUGAGCUGCCAGGUGGUGCAGCGACCACAAGGAGAACCGCGAGUGCUUCCAGCACCCCAGCACUAGGCCCGCGUACCGCCGUAGGAGGUGGCGGUGCGCGUGCACCAGGACCAGUUUCCACCCCCUCAACAACCUCCAGUGGCCACGACAGGAUGUCGCGCAUUCACCCCGGAGCUCUGCAACGUCAUCUGGCCGAGCAAGUUCAAGCCUGACCUGCCUCCACGCUACGACGACCCUGCCGAGUUCCUGCAGCUCUACGAGCUGAGCAUUGAGGCGGCCAGCGGCGACGAGAAGAUCAUGGCAAACUGGUUCCCGAUGGCCCUCAAGGAUGGCGCGCGUUCUUGGCUCCUGAACCUACCCGAGGGGUCGGUUUCUUCCUGGGAGGAGAUGCGCGACCGCUUCAUCGCCAACUUCCAGGGCACUCAUGAUUGUCCGCCGGCCGUGGGUGACCCGCGUCGCAUCAAGCAGCAACCUGGGGAGACCCUGCAGAACUAUAUCCAACACUUCAACAACGUUCGCCUCAAGAUCACCAAGGUGUCGGACGAGGCCAUCAUUUUGGCGUUCACUGACAGCAUCCACGAUGUCAAGAUGAAGGAGGAGCUCUCCGUCCAUGAGGAUCUUUGCACAGCCCUAGAGAUGUUCAACAUGCGAACAAGUGCACGAGGGCUGAGGAGGGGCGCCUCUCCCUCCUCGAGCUCCCCGAUGCUGAUCCAGAAGACAAGAAGGCCAAGACCAAAGACAUGAAGCGCAAGGGGCCGGCCGUGUUUGCGGCUGAACCAGAGAUGAAGCGCGGUUGCGACCACCUCGAGUCAUCCAAGAGCAAUCGGCCAUUCUGCGUCUUCCACAACGUUCACAGCCACAACACCAACGACUGCCAGGAGCUCAGAGCCCUCCACGACGGACGCCUCGGUCGACGCCCCAAGCGCAACGAUCGAGGCUACGGUCAUGAAGGUGGCCGAGGAGGAGGACGCUGGGACGGACACGGCCAUCGUUAGGACUGGUGCGACCAGCCUCGUGAGGACCGCUGGCAGGGCCAGCCUCGCGAGGGCGCCUGGAGGGAGCAGCCUCAUGAGGAAUGCCCUCAGGGCAACAUAGCUCUGCCUCCUCUGCCUCCACCGCCAAGAAGGAACGAGGAUCACCACCAGGACGAGGGGGCUAGGGGCUUCCAGGAGCCUCGAGCCAUUGCCUGCAUCUUGGGAGGCUCACAAGCCCUGGCUUCCCACCGCAUCUUCAAGCAGUUCAGGCGCGAGGUGAACGCGGCGUUCCCCAAGCCCGAGGCAACUCGCCCUCUUAGGUGGUCCAAGUGCGCCAUCACCUUCAACUCCUCAGACCAGCUCAAGUACGCGGCCACUGCUGGCACGCUCCCUAUGCUCUGCUCCCCGUCAUCAGUAACGUGGUCGUUACAAAGACUCUCAUUCAUGGCGGAGCAGGUCUCAAUGUUCUGUCUGUUCAGACGUUCGUCAGGCUCCAAGUGCCAUACUACUAGCUUCACCCAACCAAGCCAUUUUCAGGAGUGACCGACGGUUCUACACACUCGAUAGGGCAGGUUCACCUCCCUGUCACCUUCGGCGAGUGCAACAACUACCACACCGAUCUCAUCGACUUCGACGUCGCCGACAUCCGCCUGCCCUACAACGCCAUCCUAGGGUACUCAGCACUGGCCAAGUUCAUGGCAGCUACGCACCACAGCUACAACGUUCUCAAGAUGCCAGGAAGCGGCGGUGUCAUCACGGCCGCAUGCCAAGAGAAGGAUGCUGUGUGCUCCCUCGAGCACGCCUUCCAGGCUGCAGCACUCGAGAACCCUGAAGACGAGGGCGGCGCCCUCCCUCCCGAGGUCGCCCCCAAGACAAAGAAGCUACAGCUGGGACAAGGAUCUCAUGAGAGAGCAUCACUCGAGGGCACCACGCUGAGCCUCGCGUGUCCGGACGUGGCACCUUCUCCCAUUGCAUAGGAAGGCAUGCCCGACGCCCCUCUCAGGCUAGGCUUGGGGGCUCUCCUCGGGAGGGCCUCAGACCUAGCCAGAGUCACGAGGGAGGCGCUCGUGCACCAUGUGGAGGCGCUUUUUAGAGCACGCUUCCCAGGAGAAGGCAUCAGGCGUGAAGCACCAGACAUUCAGGAGUUAAUCGGCAAGGCAAUCGAGGAGAUUCAUGAGGCAAGGGUUCUGCAAGGCGAUCAUCGCCUGCCGCGAGGCGCAGCUCACUGCCCUAGCGAGGGUAAGGAGUACCACGUCUGCAUCGACAUCCCCAGGCUCAACAGGGAUGCGUCUCGGCAGCUCAUGUCGUCGUCUCGUGUCGGCCGAUGCGAGGGUCCACCUUACAGCUAUGUUCGCAUGCCUUUCAGCCUGCCGAGCACGGCUGUGGUGUUCCAGCACCGCAUGAGGGACGCCCUAGCGGCUCGCGAGGCCAGGCAUCGGGCGAUCCUGGUGGAGAUGGAGGAGCACCUUCAGGAGCCUCCCGGGCCCUCUGAGCCUCCCGAGGCUCGGCACCAGAGCGGCUCGUGAGGAACGACUCCGGCGGCGCAUGUUUUUUGGCUACUUCAACACCUCUUCAGCGAUGGUACCAGGUGACAUCUCUCUAGUUCGUUCAGUCUGGGGGCGCCCCUCGGGCUGCAUCAUCCCCAGGCCAUGUGGGUCCGUCCCUACGGCAUGUAUCCCUUCCGCAUCUAUCAGAGCUAGUUCAAUCUUUUGCAAGUUACCUUUAAAUUAUUAACUGCCUGACCGGUGCUUCGUCGCUAAGAACAUCUCGCGCCCUUGCAAGCCCUCCCGCGACCGCCUCAUGAUUAAGGAUUGGCACGACGUUUGUGCUCGGGUCCGUCCUUGCAGCGUCGCUAAAUCUAAGAGGCUGAGCUCUGGCUCAUGGGCCAGUCCCUGUGUACGUCACCUCCCAUGGCCCUUGGUGCCUUGUUCUCGCAUGAGCUAAUCACGGGUGGAUGAGUAAGGGCGCGCGACCUGGUGCCCCCGUGGCCACAGGAACCGCGUGCCGGUUGUUUUUCUUCAGGAUCUUUGCAUGAGAAGACUGGGAUGGCGUCUGUGCUCGGGUCCGUCCCUGCAGCGUCGAUAAACCCAACGGUUGACCUCUGUCUGGCGGGCCGGUCCCAUUCACGUCACCUCUUGAGAUCGUUGGUGUCUGGCCUUCUCAUGCAAUAACCUCAGGAGACUCAUUCGGCACAGGCUACCUAACCAUCUCGCAGGACUAAUACAAGCACCCUCAAUCAAGACCAGGCGCAACCCGCCUUGAGGUAGGGCCUCGUGAGUCCCGCGCUAGCUCACGAGUGCCCAUACACACCUCCUCCACCCCCGUCGUGCAAGCCACGUGUCAGGGCGCAGCUGUACACGCCCCGGGGGCUCUCCUUAGAGGGAGCCCCCCCUCACGCACUAGUGGAAGCACCAUGCUCCGCGCUGGCCAUCAACACUGCUGAGGAGCAGCUAUGCCCGUGCAAGAGCGGAAGCUCUAUGCUCUGCGCUGGUGAUAAACAACUGGGGGUGGCCUUGCGGCCGCAUCAACCUCAGGGAGCCUCCGGGCUCAGUGACCAGCCUCACCGUGCUGCUCUCCCUCAGGAGGAUAGCAUGAGGGGGCUGGGCACAGGGGCUACGCUCAUGUCACGCCUGGCGUACGCCACCUCGCCAUGCCUCACGGGCCUGGUCUUCGUGCACCCCUCCGAAGCGAGAGCUCGGCGAGGAGAAGGUAUGAUGGUCAAUUCGUACGUCAAGGGGGACUCCUGAGCAUCGUGUCUCAGGAGCCUAACUAGUCACAUAGCCCCUCACCCCUUGGGCUCGUCUUGGCAAUCCGGACGACCCAACGACGGCUGAGGCAUGCGCGGGGCCGGGCCCUGCCGACGCAGAAUGCCAAGGCCUGACUCUCACCCUUCCUUUUCAAGUCGUUCGAAUGUCAAGGGGGACUCCUGGGCAUCGCGUCUCAGGAGCCUAACUGGUCACGUAUCCCCUCAGCCCUUGGGCUCGUCCUGGCGAUCCGGAUGACCCAACGACGGCAGAGGUAUGCGCGGGGCCGGGCCCUGCCAAUGCAGAACAUCAAGGCUUACCUCCGCACCUUUUCCUAAGCUGUUCGCACGUCAAGGAGGACUCUUGAGCAUCGUGUCUCAGGAGCCUAACUGGUCACAUAGCCCCUCACCCCUUGGGCUCGUCCUGGCGAUCCGGACGACCCAACGGUGGCUGAGGUAUGCGCAGGGCCGGGCUCUGCCAAUGCAGAACAACAAAGCAAACGGAAAAGUCAAGGGACCAUAAUCUAAUUAUUACAUAUUGUUCCGAGCAAACAGUUUUAAAUGCCUCCCCGAGGCAUGCUACAUGAUACAGGACAAACAAGGAAAAGCAGAGUCACCAAGCCACCUCUUCAAACCUGGGUGCCACCGUUGCCCGCCAGCGGAGCCUCGUCACCAGGCGCGUCGCCCAUUCCAUCGACCUUGUUUGGAGGACCGAUGACCAGGAACUUACUCAACAUGGCAUGCACAAAGCUCUUCACGGCGGCAGCAGCAGCGUCCUGGGAGUCGGAGUCCACCGGAGUGAGGAAAGAGGUGAGGUCGAAGCCAGCGUCCUGGAGAUAGAGAUGGCUGAAGACGCACGUAAGGGCCGAGGAAGAAAGCGAGCGCGCCUCGCUUUCCACCAAAGAGGCAAACCCGUCGACAACAUCUUCCAGCACCGCCAAGACUUCAGGGAGCAAGGCAGCAGGGCUCUCCCUUGGGGUCAUCGCCGUCACCUUCUUCAAAGGAUCGUCCCCAAAGAGCAACCGCUGAGCCUUGUGGAACCUCGCCUCGAGAGAGGUGAGGGUGCUGCGCUUCAUGGCGGCGGCCUCCUUGGCCCCGGCGAGGGCCGUCUGGGCCGUCUCCACCUCCUCCUUCAGCUCGUCAGGCGGUCGCGCUCCGCAGCCUGCUCCAAGGCCACCUUCUUCACCUCGGCAUCUCGAUCAGCGAUGGCAGCCUCCUAGGCCUUCAGCUUCUCCUCACGCUCCUGGAGCUAGCUGGCCUGGGCGGCCUGCUGAUCCUGAAGAGCCUUCAGUUCAGCCUCCACCAUGCAGCGCCGAUCCUCAGCUUCUGUGGCCUCCUUCCGUGCCAGGUCGUGCUUGGUGGCGACCACCCCGAGCACCUUCUAGGCUUCCUUUGCAGAGCCCCAGGCCGCAGGGACAGACGCGUUGUCCUAGAGCCAACCAGAAAUCAGCCCCAGGCGUCCCUGCGCCGAGCGGCGCCGGGCCCCGAAGUUCACCCUGGAGGAGGUCCAGCACCGCCCUUGCCUCCUCUAGGGCCCCGGAGGUGGCAAGAGUGUCGCGGCUCGGCUGCAUGCUGGGCAAGGGAGAAGACACCCUCAACACCAAGACAGAAGAAACCUCAGCCUCAGGACGGACCGGGGGCUCCGGAGGCUGGUCGACCUUAGUAGCCGCAGCAAGGAUGGGCGCCGGUGGGGUCAGCCUCGCCAAGGACGCCGACACCUCCUGAGGGCGGGCUUCCGCGCCCUGGGAAGACGACACCACCUCCAGAGCUGCAGGGGCCGCGACAUUCUCCUUCACGUGGGCCGUAGCAGCCACCCCGGCGCCUUCAACCACGACAACCUUCGUGCCCUCCUUCUGCUUCUUUGACGAAUGCUGCCUAAUGACGGACGAAGAUGCUAAGCAUCGCUUCAGGAAUCAACAAGUAAGGCUAAGGAAAAGACUUACUGGCCGACGAAGACAUAGCUCCUCUUCAGGCUGAGCAGUGGGUGCUGAGGCAGGGCAGCUGGUGGUGAGCCCUUGGGAGCAGGAGAACUCGCGGUUGGCGCCACUCGGGACGCCGCCGGCGAAGGCGGAACGCUGCCCGGAGGAAUCAGCACGGUCCUGCCCUUCUUCGAGGCCGUCCGCUUGGGCUGCUUCAAAGAGGACACCCCGGAUCUCGUGGUGACUCCAGAAGGGCGAGGCACCUCUACCACCGGAAGCUCAUCAUCACCGUCAGGGAAGUCGUGGAGGAGGUCCCUCUGCCGCGGGGUAGAAGAUUCCUCUACAACCUCGUCCUCGGUGGCCUCGGAGGAGUGGUCGCUGGAGGACAGGUGCACCAAGGCGGUAGGCGGCGGGGGAGGCCCCGCACGCACGAUGCCAAACUCGUCAAAGACCGGCAUGGCAACGGCGACCUCCUCCCCGUCGACCCAACAGUACAACUGGAGCCAAUCCUUUGGAGGUUUGGUCGGAUCCUUCCCCGUCAAGUAAAGCAACACCUUGCCCAGCUCCUCCUCGGGAAGGGCGUCCUGGCACAGGCGGAUCUUGUCGUCGACGCACCCAAGCUUCCACAAGGGGCAGGAGCGAUCUUGGAGCGACGCUAUGCGCUGCGUCAAGAACUCCAUGAUGAACAUGGCCCCCGUCAGCUUCUCGCUCCUCAGGUCCUCCUCCAUCUUCUUCACCAACGGCUUCAAAGAAGGGUCAGUGAUCUUCUCAGAGUACCACCCCUUCCCGGAGGCGGGGAGCUCGGUCGACAGCUCCAACAAGGCAUGGGAGCACUUGGCAUCCAUCAGAACCCACCUCUUCAUGGCAUCCUCCACCUUCUUCCCGGCGCGGGAGAUCGCGUUACCGCCCCAUGCUGCAAUGAAGCCGUUGCACCCAACCGGAUGGUCGCCAGUUGCUACCACUUGAGCACUGCAUUGGUUUUCCCUUGAAGAGGAAAGGGUGAUGCAGCAAAGUAGCGUAAGUAUUUCCCUCAGUUUUUUAGAACCAAGGUAUCAAUCCAGUAGGAGGCUCCAUAGAAGACCCUCGUACCUACACAAACAAACAAGAACCUCGCAACCAACGCGAUAAAGGGGUUGUCAAUCCCUUCAUGGUAACUUCUGAAAGUGAGAUCUGAUAGAGAUAAUAAGAUAAGAUAAAUAUUUUUGGUAUUUUUAUGAUAUAGAUUGAAAAGUAAAGAUGCAAAUAAAAGUAGAUUAGAAACUUAUAUGAUAAAAGAUAGACCCGGGGGCCAUAGGUUUCACUAGUGGCUUCUCUCAAGAUAGCAUAAGUAUUACAGUGGGUGAACAAAUUACUAUCGAGGAAUUGAUAGAAAAGUGCAUAGUUAUGAGAAUAUCUAGGCAUGAUCAUGUAUAUAGGCAUCACGUCUGUGACAAGUAGAUCAAAACAAUUCUGCAUCUACUACUAUUACUUCACACAUCGACCGACUCCAGCCUACAUCUAGAGUAUUAAGUUCAUAAGAACAGAGUAACGCAUUAAGAAAGAUGACAUGAUGUAGAGGGAUAAACUCAAGCAAGAUGAUAUAAACCCCAUCUUUUUAUCCUCGAUGGCAACAAUACAAUAUGUGCCUUGCUGCCCCUGCUGUCACUGGGAAAGGACACCGCAAGAUUGAACCCAAAGCUAAGCACUUCUCCCAUUGCAAGAAAGAUCAAUCUAGUAGGCCAAACCAAACUGAUAAUUUGAAGAGACUUGCAAAGAUAACCAAUCAUACAUAAAAGAAUUCAGAGGAGAUUCAAAUAUUUCUCAUAGAUAAACUUGAUCAUAAACCCACAAUUCAUCGGAUCUCCGCAAACACACUGCAAAAAGAGUUACAUAAAAUAGAUCUCCAAGAAGAUCAAGGAGAACUUUGUAUUGAGAUUCAAAGAGAGAGAAGAAGCCAUCUAGCUAAUAACUAUGGACCCAAAGGUCUGUGGUAAACUACUCACAACUCAUCGGAGAGGCUAUGGUGUUCAUGUAGAAGCCCUCCGUGGUUGAUUCCCCCUCCAGCGGAGCACCGUCGAAGGCUCCAAGAUGGGAUCUCGUGGAUAAAGAAGGUUGCGGCGGUGGAAAUAGUUUUUCAUGGUGCUCCUGGAUGUUUUCAGGGUAUGGAGGUAUAUAUAGGCGAAGGAGGUAGGUGAGAGGAGCCACGAGGGCCCCACGAGGGUGGGGGGUGGGGCGCGCCCUCCUGCCUUGUGGCCACCUUGGCUGCUUCUUGAAGUCCACUCCAAGUCUCCUGGAUUGCGUUUGUUCCAAAAAUAUGGCUCCCGAAGGUUUCAUUCCGUUUGGAAUCCGUUUGAUAUUCCUUUUCUUCGGAACACUGAAAUAGGCAAAAAAACAGCAAUUCGGGUUGGGCCUCCGGUUAGUAGGUUAGUCCCAAAAAUGAUAUAAAAGUGUAAAGUAAAGCCCAUAAACAUCCAAAACGGGUAAUAUAAUAGCAAGGAACAAUAAAAAUUAUAGAUAUGUUGGAGACGUAUCAAGCAUCCCCAAGAUUAAUUCAUGCUCGUCCUCGAGUAGGUAAAUGAUAAAAACAGAAUUUUUGAUGUGGAAUGCUACCUAGCAUAUUUCUCAAUGCAAUUUUCUUUAUUGUGGCAUGAAUGUUCAGAUCCAAAUGAUUCAAAAUAAAAGUUCAUAUUGACAUAAGAAUAGUAAUACUUCAAGCAUACUAACAAAGCAAUCAUGUCUUCUCAAAAUAACAUGGCUAAAGAAAGUUCAUCCCUACAAAAUCAUGUAGUUAGGCCAUGUUUCAUUUUCAUCACACAAAAUACUCCCAUCAUGCACAACCCCGGUUUCAGCCAGGCAAUUGGUUCACACUUUUUAACACGCUUCAGCGUUUUCAACUCUCACGCAAUACAUGAGCGUAAGCCAUGGAUAUAGCACUAUGAGUGGAAUAGAAUAUGAUGGUGGAGGUUGUGUGGAGAAAACAAAAAAGGAGAAAGUCUCACAUUGACGAGGCUAAUCAACGGGCUAUGGAGAUGCCCAUCAAUUGAUGUCAACAUGAGGAGUAGGGAUUGCCAUGCAACGGAUGCACUAGAGAUAUACAUGUAUGAAAGCUCAACAAAAUAAACUAAGUGGGUGUGCAUCCAACUUGCUUGCUCACGAAGACCUAGGGCAUUUUGAGGAAGCCCAUCGUUGGAAUAUACAAGCCAAGUUCUACAAUGAAAAAUUCCCACUAGUAUAUGAAAGUGACAACAUAAGAGACUCUCUAUAUGAAGAACAUGGUGCUACUUUGAAGCACAAGUGUGGAAAAGGAUAGUAACAUUAUCUCAAAAUAAUAUAAGUGAAGCAUGAGAGAUCAAUAAUGUCUACAAAAUAAAACCACCGCCGUGCUCUAAAAAGUAUAAGUGAAGCACUAGAGCAAAACUAUCUACCUCAAAAGAUAUAAGUGAAGCACAUAGAGUAUUCUACUAAAUUUCAAAUCAUGUGUGUCUCUACCAAAAGGUAUGUACAGCAAGGAUGAUUGUGGUAAACUAAAAAGCAAAGACUCAUAUCAUACAAGACACCCCAAGGAAAACACAUGUCAUGUGGCGAACAAAAAUAUAGCUCCAAGUAAAGUUACCGAUAAACGAAGAUGAAAGAGGGGAUGCCUUCCGGGGCAUCCCCAAGCUUAGGCUUUUGGUUGUCCUUGUAUUAUCUUGGGGUGACAUGGGCAUCCCCAAUCUUAGGCUAUUGUCACUCCUUAUUCCAUAGUCCAUCAAAUCUUUACCCAAAACUUGAAAACUUCACAACACAAAACUCAACAGGAAAUCUCAUGAGCUCCGUUAGUGCAAGAAAGAAAAACCACCGCAUAAGGUACUGCAAUGAAAUCAUUCCUUAUUUAUAUUGGUGUUAAACCUACUGUAUUCCAACUUCUAUAUGGUUCAUACCCCCCGAUACUAGCCAUAGAUGCAUCAAAAUAAGCAAACAACACACGAAAAACAGAAUCUGUCAAAAACAGAACAGUCUGUAGCAAUUUGUAACUUUCGAAUACUUAUGAAACUCUAAAAAUCCUACCAAAAUAGGAAGUCCUAGGAAAUUUGUUAUUGAUCUACUGCAAAAAGAAUCAACCCAAAAUCACAUUUCUGUGCUUUAUUAAAAUUAUUCUCGUGUGCGCAAAAGUUUCUGUUUUUCAGCAAGAUCAAAUUAAUUAUCACCCAAGAUGAUCCUAUAGGUUCUACUUGGCACAAAUAAUAAUUAAAACAUAAAACCACAUAUAAACAGAGGCUAGAUGAUUUAUUUAUUACCAAACAGAAGCAAAAAGUAUGGAACAAAAAAUCUUGGGUUGCCUCCCAACAAGCGCUAUCGUUUAACGCCCCUAGCUAGGCAUAAAAGCGAGAGUAGAUCUAAGUAUUGCCAUCUUUGGUAUUCAACUCAUAAGUGGAUCGCAUAAUGGAUUCAUAAGGUAAUUUGAUUUUCUUUCUAGUAAAGUGUUCCAUGCCUUUCUUUAAUGGAAAUUGCAAUCUAAUAUUUCCUUCCUUCAUAUCAAUAAUUGCACCAAUCGUUCUAAGGAAAGGUCUACCAAGAAUAAUAAGACAUGAAAGAUUGCAAUCUAUAUCAAGAACGAUAAAAUCUAUGGGCACAUAAUUCCUAUUUGCAACAAUAAGAACAUCAUUAAUCCUUCCCGUAGAUUUCUUAAUAGUGGAAUCCGCAAGGUGCAAGUUCAAAGAGCAAUCAUAAAAUCACGGAAACCUAGCACAUCACAUAAAGUUUUUGGAAUCAUGGAAACACUAGCACCCAAAUCACACAAAGCAUAGCAUUCAUGAUCUUUAAUUUUAAUUUUAAUAGUAGGUUCCCACUCAUCAUAAAGUUUUCUAGGGAUAUAACUUCCAACUCAAGUUUUUCCUCAUAAGAUUGCAUCAACGAUAUGUUUGGUAAAAGCUUUAUUUUGACUAUAAGCAUGAGGAGAAUUCAACACGGAUUGCAACAAGGAAAUACAAUCUAUUAAAGAACAAUUAUCAUAAUUAAAUUCCUUGAAAUCAAAAUAGUGGUUUCAUUGUUAAGUAAAGUUUUGACCUCUCCAAUCCCACUUUUACCAAAUUUAGCAUCAAGAUCUAAAAACUCUGAAUCAUUGGGACGCCUUUUAACUAAAGUUGACUCAUCUCCAAUCCCAUCAUUAUCAAGAUUCAUAUUGCAAAACAAAGAUUUAAUAGGAGACACAUCAAUCACUUUUAGAUCUUCAUCAUUAUUAUCAUGGAAACUAGAAGAACACGCUUUUACAAAGCAAUCUUUUUAGCACGAUCCUAGCGGUUCUUUCUUUGCACUCAUCAAUCGAAAUUCUCAUGGAUUUGAGAGACUCAUUGAUAUCAUGCUUAGGUGGAAUAUAUCUAAGUUUCAAAGAAUAAACAUCAAGAGAAAUUCUAUCCAUGUUCCUAGCCAAUUCAUCAACGUUAAGCAAUUUUUCUUCAAGCAAAGCAUUGAAAUUCUUUUGAGAGAUCAUAAAUUCUUUAACACUAUUCUAAAAAUCAGAGGGCAUCUUAUUAAAAUUUCCAUAAGAGUUGUUGUAGGAAUUACCAUAAUUAUUAGAAGAAUUAUUAGGGAACGGCCUAGAAUUAAAGUUUCCUCUAUACGCGUUGUUACCAAAAUUAUUCCUACCAACAAAAUUCACAUCCAUAGAUUCAUUAUUAUUCUCAAUCAAAGUAGACAAAGGCAUAUCAUUAGGAUCAAUAGGAGCACUCUUAUUAGCAAACAAUUUCAUAAGUUCAUCCAUCUUUCCACUCAAAACAUUAAUCUCUUCUAUAGCAUGAACCUUUUUUCUAGUAGAUCUUUCAGUGUGCCAUUGAGAAUAAUUAACCAUAAUAUUAUAUAGGAGUUUAGUAGCUUCUCCUAAAGUGAUUUCCAUAAAAGUGCCUCCCGCGGCCGAAUCUAAAAGAUUUCUAGAAGCAAAAUUCAAUCCGGCAUAGAAAUUUUGUAUGAUCAUCCAUAAAUUCAAACCAUGUGUAGGGCAAUUGUGAACCAUUAAUUUCAUUCUCUCCCAAGAUUGGGAAACAUGCUCAUGAUCUAGUUGCUUAAAAUUCAUAAUAUCGUUUCUAAUAGAAAUGAUCUUAGCGGGAGGAAAAUACUUAGAGAUAAAAGCAUCUUUGCACUUAUUCCAUGAAUCGAUACAAUUUUUAGGCAAAGACGAAAACCAAGUUUUAGCACGAUCUCUAAGUGAAAACGGAAAUAACUUCAAUUUAACAAUAUCAUUAUUCGUGUCUUUCUUCUUUUUCAUAUCACACAAAUCAACAAAAUUGUUUAGAUGAGUAGCGACAUCUUCACUAGGAAGGCCCGAAAAUUGAUCUUUCAUAGCAAGAUUCAACAAAGCAGCAUUGAUUUCACAAGAUUCAACAUCAUUAAGAGGAGCAAUCGGAGUGCUAAGGAAAUCAUUAUUAUUGGUAUUGGAAAAGUCACACAAUUUAGUAUUAUCUUGAGCCAUUGUGACAAACAAUCCAACACACAAGCACACGAAAAGGCAAGCGAAAAAGAGAGGCGAACGGAAAAGAGAGGGCGAAUAAAACGGCAAGGGUGAAGUGGGGGAGAAAAAAACGAGAGACAAAUGGCAAAUAAUGUAAUGCGAGGGAGAUAAGUUUGUGAUGGGUACUUGGUAUGUCUUGACUUGAACGAAGACCUCCACAGAAACGGCGCCAGAAAUCCUUCUAGCUACCUCUUGAGCACUGCGUUGGUUUUCCCUUGAAGAGGAAAGGGUGAUGCAGCAAAGUAGCAUAAGUAUUUCCCUCAUUUUUUGAGAACCAAGGUAUCAAUCCAGUAGGAGGCUCCACACAAGUCCCUCGUACCUACACAAACAAACAAGAACCUCGCAACCAACGCGAUAAAGGGGUUGUCAAUCCCUUCAUGGUAACUUGCAAAAGUGAGAUCUGAUAGAGAUAAUAAGAUAAGAUAAAUAUUUUUGGUAUUUUUAUGAUAUAGAUUGAAAAGUAAAGAUGCAAAUAAAAGUAGAUUGGAAACUUAUAUGAUAAAAGAUAGAUCCGGGGGCCAUAAGUUUCACUAGUGGCUUCUCUCAAGAUAGCAUAAGUAUUACGGUGGGUGAAAAAAUUACUGUCGAGCAAUUGAUAGAAAAGUGCAUAGUUAUGAGAAUAUCUAGGCAUGAUCAUGUAAAUAGGCAUCACGUUUGUGACAAGUAGAUCGAAACGAUUCUGCAUCUACUAAUUUUACUCCACACAUCGACCGACUCCUGCCUGCAUCUAGAGUAUUAAGUUCAUAAGAACAGAGUAACGCAUUAAGAAAGAUGACAUGAUGUAGAGGGAUAAACUCAAGCAAUAUGAUAUAAACCCCAUCUUUUUAUCCUCGAUGACAACAAUACAAUACGUGCCUUGCUACCCCUGCUGUCACUGGGAAAGGACAUCACAAGAUUGAACCCAAAGCUAAGCACUUCUCCCAUUGCAAGAAAGAUCAAUCUAGUAGGCCAAACCAAACUGAUAAUUCAAAGAGACUUGCAAAGAUAACCAAUCAUACAUAAAAGAAUCCAGAGGAGAUUCAAAUAUUUCUCAUAGAUAAACUUGAUCAUAAACCCACAAUUCAUCGGAUCUCGACAAACACACCGCAAAAAGAGUUACAUCGAAUAGAUCUCCAAGAAGAUCAAGGAGAACUUUGUAUUGAGAUUAAAAGAGAGAGAAGUAGUCAUCUAGCUAAUAACUAUGGACCCAAAGGUCUGUGGUUAACUACUCACAACUCAUCAGAGAGGCUAUGGUGACAUGUAGAAGCCCUCCAUGGUCGAUUCCCCCUAUGGCGGAGCGCCAGCGAAGGCUCCAAGAUGGGAUCUCGCGGAUACAGAAGGUUGCGGCGGUGGAAAUAGUUUUUCGUGGUGCUCCUAGAUGUUUUUCAGGGUAUGGAGGUAUAUAUACAUGAAGGAGGUAGGUCAGGGGAGCCACGAGGGGCCCAUGAGGGUGGGGGGCAAGUCCACCCCCCUAGGGUGCGCCCUCUUGCCUCGUGUCCGCCUCGGCUGCUUCUUGACGUCCACUCCAAGUCUCCUGGAUUGCGUUUGUUCCAAAAAAAUCGCUCCCAUGGUUUCAUUCCGUUUGGACUCCUUUUGAUAUUCCUUUUCUUCGAAACACUGAAAUAGGCACAAAAAAACAGCAAUUCGGGCUGGGCCUCCGAUUAGUAGGUUUGUCCCAAAAAUGAUAUAAAAGUGUGAAGUAAAGCCCAUAAACAUCCCAAACGGGUAAUAUAAUAGUAUGGGACAAUAAAAAAUUAUAGAUACAUUGGAGACGUAUCACCAGUCAGUCGGAGGAAGAAGAAGUGGCGGAGCAUGGCGACGAAGGGCAUCACCCCCAUGAAUGCCUCACAGUAGAAUGCGAAAAUGGAUAGGAGGAGGAUGGAGUUGGCGUGAAUGUGGAGCGCGUGGAGGCCGUAGUGGUGAAGAACGACAUAGAAAAAGCGGGAGAAUGGGGGCACCAGCCCCAAAUAGAUGUUGUGCAGGAAGAAGGGAAAGAAAGUGUUGUUCGCGGGCUCUAGCACGGCGGUAGCGACCCGGAGAGCCAUCCCCCUCCACUCGUUGUCCUUGCUCGCCGUCAGGAGGAGCACGGUCUGGAGCUUAUCCCUGGCCACGGAGGGCGCAAGCAGCGUCAGCUCGUACCAGGCGGAGCGGGCCGCCGAGGCUGAGGCCGUGGUCUUCUCAGCGGCCAUUGAGCAAAGGAUUGGAGGGGGAAAUCGGCAGAUCUGGUGAGUUCUUCUGCUACUGGGAGAAGGGGAUCUGGAGCAAGAAGAAGAAGAGGCAAUGAAGGCUUAGCGGCGAACAACAACCCUUUUGUCAGAUGGAAACAAUUGCCAAGUCAGCAUGGGGAAGCAAAGUCGCCCACGUCCCAUCAAUCUCCAUGCGUUAUCAAGGCCGCAGGCGGUUAGGGCCCGUGGCACUCCGCACUUGCCCUUUGGCUUCGCUUGGAGGUCAAGUCCGAGCGCGCCUUGGGUCCGGGGGCUACUGUCGGCGUCCUGGAUAUGGGGGUAUCCAGCCCUGCCUACCUGCAGCCCACCACGUGGCUCCAUCGACGGCCUGGUACGGCCCAACUUCAACAUCAACAGCACAAGACCCUCACGAGGGGCCAAACCUCGCGAGGCGGAUGAUGCCAAGACCCCCGAGGGGAUCGGCCUCCUCAGGCUGGCUCCCGAGGGGCGGAGAGUUCUAUGCAAUGUUUACCUCAUGAGGCUCAGCUGACGUAAGCCGUGAAGACCAAGGCCAGGCGGGCGCAGAGCGCAUGUUUCCUCUUCGGUGCAAAGGAGGCAAGCCAUAGGCGUGGAGUCCCGAGGAAUCGGCCAAAGGUUUCCAUUCUGCUGCAACGAGACCAAGACCGCCAGGACGGCAGGACGGAGGUCGUCGACGAGCCCACCGCAGUGUCACUACCAGAGGCUUUUCGCAGGCGAAGACUACUUUUGUCAGGAUAAGCUGUACUACUUGUCCCCUUUCAAAUCCGGCCGUUGUGGGAUCCCUUCCUGCCAACAUUUGGGAAGAGGACCAAGGCCACUAUAAAUAGGACUAGCCACCACCAUAGAGGCAAGACAAGCCGAACUAGCUCACACCACACCAGCUCCCGCGAGCUCAAGAACACCUCACCUCCUGACGCCAGUUCAUCCCUUGUACUAGUUCAUCCUCAGCCCUCCGAGGCAAUCCACCAAAACGCUGGAGUAGGGUAUUACACCGCAAGGUGGCCCGAACCAGGAUAAACUACUGUGUCCCUUUGUCCCUUUGAGCUCGACGUGCUAGACUUAGGAGAAUCAUGAGUAGGCAGGCUGGGUAGGUUGAGUUCUCCGCACGCACCCCAGAGUUCAAACCUCUCAAGGGUUUGCGGGUCCCUUAAUCCGACAACUGAUGUCUGCAUCUCUGUCACUUUUAGAUCAAGAUCAUAGAACUUAGUCUAAAUGAUCCUUUCCAAGCCCUCUUGGUUCUGAGUCAGGGUGGCCAAGCCCUUCUCUAUCCUCAAGGUUGCUUGAAUUAGAUAAGAAAGUUGAUCUUGUUUGGACUUGAGAAACACUUGAGAUGCCUCUUCAACACUUGGCAUCUUUGUAGCUUUGUCAACCUUAGCUUUCUCUCUCUUUUCUUGUGUGUGCACAGAUGUGGGUUCUUCUUCAUUCAUGACAACAAUGUUGACCUCAAAAUCUGUUCUCAAGGGUAGAUGCUCUUUAUCCAACAGACAGGUGCAUGUGCCCAUCUUGGAGUUGAUGAGCACCUGAAUAUGUGGAGCAUACCCAUAAGAUCUCUUCUGAUCUGCAGCUAUCCUUUUUAUUGUUUCCACAAUCAGGCUCAUGGCUUUGAAUUUUUGGGGCACAUCAAACAAUUGCAGCAAGUUGAUAGAAUGACCUCUGGUCAUCUUGUGAUCUCCAGAUUUGGACAACAAAGUAUGCCUCAGGAUAGAGUUGAUUGUAGCUAAGCUAGACAACAGAUAAUGAACAGACCCAAGCUUAUGAGUUUCCACGCCUUUGAAUUUCUUUGUACAUGUUGGUGAUGACCCACAAGUGUAGGGGAUCUAUUGUAGUCCUUUCGAUAAGUAAGAGUGUCGAAGCCAACGAGGAGCAGAAGGAAAAGAUAAGCAGUUUUCAGUAAGGUUUUCUCUGCAAGCACUGAAAUUGUAGGUGAUAGAUAGUUUUGUGAUAGGAUAAAUAGUAACGAGUAACAAGUAAGAAAAGUAAAUGAAGUGCAGCAAAGUGGCCCAAUCCUUUAUGUAGCAAAGGAUAAUCCUGGACAAUUUCUAAUAAUGAGAAAGGAGCUCCCGAGGACACAUGGGAAUUAUCAUCAAGCUAGUUUUCAUCACGCUCAUAUGAUUCACGUUCGGUACUUUGAUAAUUUGAUAUGUGGGUGGACCGGUGCUUGGUUACUGCCCUUACUUGGACAAGCAUCCCACUUAUGAUUAACCCCUAUUGCAAGCGUCUGCAACUACAAAAGAAGUAUUAAGGUAAACCUAACCACAACAUAAACAUAUGGAUCCAAAUCAGCCCCUAACGAAGCAACGCAUAAACUAGGGUUUAAGCUUCUGUCACUCUAGCAACCCAUCAUCUACUUAUUACUUCCCUAUGCCUUCCUCUAGGCCCAAAUAAUGGUGAAGUGUCAUGUAGUUGACAUUCACAUAACACCACUAGAGGAAAAGACAACAUACAUCUCAUCAAAAUAUUGAACGAAUACCAAAUUGACAUGACUACUAAUAGCAAGACUUCACCCAUGUCCUCAGGAACAAACGUAACUACUCACAAAGCAUAUUCAUGUUCAUAAUCAGAGGAGUAAUAAUAUGCAUAAAGAAUCUGAACAUAUGAUCUUCCACCAAGUAAACCAAUUAGCAUCAACUACAAGGAGUAAUCAACACUACUAGCAACCCACAUGUACCAAUUUGUGGUUUCGAUACAAGAUUGGAUACAAGAAAUGAACUAGGGUUUGUGAAGAUGUUGAUGGAGAUUGACCAACUCCCGAUGAGACGAUCGUUGGUGAUGACAUUGGUGAUGAUUUCCCCCUCCCGGAGGGAAGUGUCCCCGACAGAAUAGCUCCGCCAGAGCCCUAGAUUGAUUCCGCCAAGGUUCCGCCUCGUGGCGGCGGAGUUUCAUCCCGUAAGCUUGCCCACGAUUUUUUCCAGGGUAAAAGCCCUCAUAUACCAGAAGAUGGACACCGGAGGGCCACCAGGGGGGCCAGGAGAUAAGGGGCGCGCCCAAUAGGGGGGCGCCCCCCACCCUCCAGGCAGGGUGUGGGCCCCCUGGUGUACUUCUUCCGCUCAAUAAUUCUUUUUAGUUCCAAAAAUAGGUUUCAUGGAGUUUCAUGAUUUUUGGAGCAGUGCAAAAUAGCUUUCCAAUGUUUGCUCCUUUUCCAGCUAGAAUUCUAGCUGCCGGCAUUCCCCCUCUUCAUGGUAAAUCUUGUAAAAUAAGAGAGAGUGGCCAUAAGUAUUGAGAUAUAAUGUGUAAUAACAACCCAUAAUGCAAUAAAUAUUGAUAUAAAAGCAUGAUGCAAAAUGGGCAUAUCAACUCCCCCAAGCUUAGACCUCGCUUGUCCUCAAGCGGAAGCCGAUAUCGAAAAAUAUGUCCACAUGUUUAGAAAUAGAGGUGUUGUUAAAAAGAAAAUAUGGACAUGAGGGCAUCAUGAUCAUUCUUGUAACAACAAUAUAUAUAUAGAUUUUAUCAUAUGAUUUCUUAUGCUCAAGUAACAAUCAAUUCACAAUAUGAAGUAUGGUUCAAAAACUUCAUUGAGAACUAACAAACUAUAAUCUCAGUCAUUGAAGCAAUCGCAAUUUAUCAUAACAUCAGAAAGGGUCAACAAUAGAGCUUUUCAGCAAGUUCACAUACUCAACUAUCUUGUAGUCUUCUACAAUUGCUAAUACUCACGCAAUACUUGUGGUUAUGGAGUUUCAGCCGAACACUGAGAAAGAUAGGGGCUUAUUGUGUUACCUCCCAACGUAUUCACCUUUAGGUGAUGUCAACAAUAAUAGCCCAUGCUAACUUACAUCCAAUUGGAUAUAUAUAUCAUGAUCUUUCAAACACGAAGAGCUUGCCAAAGGAUAAAAUGAAAAAGGGAAAGGUGAGGAUCACCUUGACUCAAGCAUAAAGUAAAAACAUAAAGUAAAAGAUAGGCCCUUCGCAGAGGGAAGCAAAGGUUGUCAUGUGCGUUUAGGGUUGGAUGCGCAAAAUCUUAAUGCAAAAGAACGUCACUUUAUAUUGCCCCUUGUAUGUGGACCUUUAUUAUGCAGUCCGUCGCUUUUAUUGCUUCCACAACAAGAUCAUACAAAGCUUAUUUUCUCUGCACUAAUAAGUCAUACAUAUUUAGAGAGCAAUUUUUAUUACUUGCACCGAUAACAACUUACUUGAAGGAUCUUACUCAAUCCAUAGGUAGGUAUGGUGGACUCUCAUGGCAAAAACUGGGUUUAAGGAUAUUUGGAAGCACAAGUAGUAUCUCUACUUUGUGCAAGGAAUUUGGCUAGCAUGAGGGGGAAAGGCAAGCUCAACAUGUUUGGAAGGUCAAUGACAAUAUACUUUAACUGAGAUGUGCGAAAACAUAAACCAUUACGUUGUCUUCCUUGUCCAACGUCAACUCUUUAGCAUGUCAUACUUAAUGAGUGCUCCCAAUCAUAAAAGGUGUCCAAGAUAAUAUAUUUAUAUGUGAACCUCUAUUUCCUUAUCACUUCCUAUUAAUUGCAACGAUGACGAGAACUACAUUUAUCAACUCUCAACAAUUUUUAUGCCUCAUACUUUCUAUAUGUGAAGUCAUCACUAAGCAUAAGAUCAAUAUGAACUCUUUAAUUCUUUCUACUUUCUCAAGAUCAUAGUAACAUAGUAAAGCCCUUGACCCAACACUAAUCUUUAUUAUAGAUAGCUCACGGACUCAAUUACGAAAAGAGAUCACAAAGCAAAACUCAAAACUACUUGAUAUCAAAACUUCAAUCUACUAGAUCAAGAUACUACUAAAAGGGUCAAACUAAAUAAAACGGUAAAAAUAGGAGUGUGAUGGUGAUACGAUACCGAGGCACCUCCCCCAAGCUUGGCAGUUGUCAAGGGGAGUGCCCAUACCCAUGUGAUUAUGUCCUCGGAGGUGGUGAAGUAGGAGUUGUUGAUGAUGUAGGCUUGUCAUCCGUCUUCCAAGGCAUAGGCUCACCAUCAUAGAAGGAUGAUCGAGUCUCCGGGAUACUUAAAUCUGCAGCCAAACUCAUCCUCUUGAAUCUAUAUUCAUACUCACAGUUCUGGUUUUGCAGGUCAUAGAUCUGGGCUUGGAGGUGCUCGAUUUUCUCCUGAAGCUUGAAGAUGGUCUCCCCAAUGAAUUUGGCAUCUAGCUUGUGGUUGUUGGUGAACUCCGUGAUCAUCAUCUGGUUGGCGUUGAGUCCAUGCUCCACCAUCCCUUGGCACUUGAAAACUUGCUGCUCCAUGGCUUCGAGCUUUGUCUCCACGCUUCCGGUACGCCUUGGUCCCUCCAUGUCGCGGAUGUGCAGCACCCCCUCACGCAUCUCGAUGGUUUGAGGGUGUUUCAGCACCUCCACGUGAUAGGGGUUGAUAACCCUCUCGAAAAACUUGUCCUUGGGAGCGCUUGGAGACGCCAUGAUGCUCUGGAUCUGAAACAGAAAUAGCUCGAAACGAAAACAGAGGAUAUUUGUGUGAUACGUUGGUCAAAACCUUCAGGAGUAUAUAUAAUGAAUUUUUACCGACCAAAAUACGUAACUUGCAAGAAAACGGAGUCCGGGAGGCACACGAGGUGCCCACGAGACAGGGGGGCGCUCCCAGUAGGGGUGGGUGCACCCUCCACUCUCAUGGGUCCUUGUGUCCCUCUCGGACUACCUCUUUCUUCCUAAAGUUCUUAAAUAUUCCAGAACUGAUAAAAAAUGCCAUUGGAGUUGUUUUGGAGUCGGUUUACUUACCGUACCACAUACCUAUUCCUUUUUGGAGUCUGGAACAUUUUGGAAAGUGUCCCUUAUGUAUUCCUCCGGGGUUACGGUUUCAAUAAUAUUAGUUUCAACAUUAAUAGGAUUACCUGAAAUAUAAUGUUUAAUUCUUUGACCGUUUAGCACCCUCGGACUUGUGCCUUCGAAGUUGUUGAUUUUUAUGGCACCAGAACGAUAUACCUCCUCGAUAACGUAAGGACCUUCCCAUUUAGAGAGAAGUUUUUCUGCAAAAAAUCUUAAACGAGAGUUGAAUAAUAACACAUAAUCUCCUAUGUUAAACUCAGGGUUUUGUAUCCUUUUAUCGUGCCAGCGUUUGACUUUUUCUUUGAAUAGCUUGUCAUUCUCAUAGGCUUGGGCUCUCCAUUCAUCAAGUGAGCUAAUAUCAAACAACCUCUUCUCACCGGCAAGUUUGAAGUCAUAGUUGAGCUCUUUAAUAGCCCAAUAUGCUUUAUGUUCAAGUUCAAGAGGUAAAUGACAUGCUUUUCCAUAAACCAUCUUAUAUGGAGACAUACCCGUAGGAUUUUUGUAUGCAGUUCUAUAGGCCCAUAAUGCAUAAUCAAGUUUUUUGGACCAAUUCUUUCUAGAUCUAUUCACAGUCUUUUGCAAAAUUAAUUUGAGUUCUCUAUUGCUCAACUCUACUUGACCACUAGACUGCGGAUGAUAAGGAGAUGUGAUUCUAUGAUUGACAUCAUACUUAGCAAGCAUCUUACGGAAAGCACCAUGAAUAAAAUGUGAACCACCAUCAGUCAUAAGAUAUCUAGGGACUCCAAACCUCGGAAAAAUAACUUCUUUAAGCAUUUUAAUAGAAGUGUUAUGAUCAGCGCUACUAGUUGGAAUAGCUUCUACCCACUUAGUAACGUAAUCAACAGAUCCUAAAAUAUGUGUGUAACCAUUAGAGGCAGGAAAAUGUCCCAUAUAAUCGAAGCCCCAAACAUCAAACGGUUCAAUAACAAGAGAGUAAUUCAUAGGCAUUUCUUGACGUCUACUAAUAUUACCUAUUCUUUGGCAUUCAUCACAAGAUAAGACAAACUUACGAGCAUCUUUGAAGAGAGUAGGCCAAUACAAACCAGAUUGUAGUACCUUGUGUGCAGUUCUAUCUCCAGCGUGGUGUCCUCCAUAGGAUUCAGAGUGACACCUGUGUAAGAUCUGUUCCUGUUCAUGCUCAGGCACACAACGGCUAAUAACACCAUCUACUCCUUCUUUAUAAAGGUGUAGGUCAUCCCAAAAGUAAUGUCUUAAAUCAUAAAAGAACUUUUUCUUUUGCUGGUAUGUGAAACUGGGAGGUAUAAAUUUAGCAACAAUGUAAUUAGCAUAAUCAGCAUACCAAGGAGCAGUACGAGAAUCAUUAAUGACCGCUGACUGUUCAUCAGGAAAGCUAUCAUCAAUAGGCAGUGGGCCAUCAAGAACAUUCUCUAACCUAGACAAGUUGUCUGCAAUGGGGUUCUUCGCUCCCUUUCUAUCAAUAAUAUGCAAAUCAAAUUCUUGGAUCAAGAGGACCCAUCUAAUGAGCCUAGGCUUAGCAUCUUUCUUUUCCAUAAGAUAUUUAAUAGCAGCAUGAUUAGUGUGAAUAGUAACUUUGGAAUCAACAAUAUAAGGUCUAAACUUAUCACAUGCAAACACAACUGCUAAGAAUUCUUUUUCAGUAGUAGCAUAAUUUCUUUGGGCAGUAUCAAGAGUUUUACUAGCAUACUGGAUAAGAUUUAAUUUCUUAUCAACCCUUUGCCCUAGAACACCACCUACAGCAUAAUCACUAGCAUCACAUAUAAUUUCAAAGGGUAAAUUCCAAUCAGGUGGCUGAACAACAGGAGCAGUGAUCAAAGCUUUCUUAAGUAUUUCAAAUGCUUCUACACAAUCAUCAUCAAAGACAAAAGGAAUAUCUUUUUGCAACAAAUUAGUCAGAGGCCUAGAGAUUUUAGAAAAGACCUUAAUGAACCUCCUAUAAAAACCGGCAUGACCAAGGAAACUUCUUAUACCUUUUAUGUCCUUGGGACAUGGCAUCUUUUCAAUAGCAUCAACUUUAGUUUUAUCAACUUCAAUACCUCUCUCGGAAAUCUUGUGCCCCAAGACAAUCCUUCAUUAACCAUAAAGUGACACUUUUCCCAAUUCAGAAUGAGACUGGUGUCUUUGCAUCUCUGCAAAACUCGAUCAAGGUUGCUCAAACAAUUAUCAAAAGAGGAUCCAUAAACGGAGAAGUCAUCCAUGAAUACCUCACAAAUCUUUUCACAAAAAUCAGAGAAUAUAGCCAAGAUGCAUAUUUGAAAGGUAGCAGGUGCAUUGCAUAAACCAAAAGGCAUAUGUCUAUAAGCAAAAGUACCGAAAGGGCAAGUAAAAGUAGUUUUUGAUUGAUCUCCCGCUGACACAGGAAUUUGAGAGAAACCAGAAUAACCAUCUAGAAAGCAAAAAUGUAUGUGUUUGGAUAGUCUUUCUAGCAUUUGAUCAAUAAAAGGUAAAGGGUAAUGAUCUUUCUUAGUAGCUUUAUUUAGUUUACGGAAAUCAAUUACCAUCCUAUAACCUAUAAUAAUUCUUUGCGGGAUCAAUUCAUCUUUAUCAUUAGGAACGACAGUAAUACCUCCCUUUUUAGGAACACAAUGAACAGGACUUACCCAUUCACUAUCAGCAAUGGGAUAAAUUAUACCUGCCUCAAGGAGCUUUAAUAUCUCCUUUCUUACCACUUCUUUCAUCUUGGGAUUUAGUCGUCGUUGAGGAUCUCUAACUGGUUUGGCAUCAUCCUCCAAUUUAAUUUUGUGUUGGCAUAACGUGGGACUAACACCCUUAAGAUCAUCCAGAGUGUAUCCAAUAGCAGCUCGGUGCCUCUUCAGAGUUUUCAAUAAUCUUUCUUCUUCUUGCUCUGAAAGGUUAGCACUAAUUAUAAUAGGAUAUAUGUUCUUUUCAUCAAGAUAAGCAUACUUAAGAUUAUCAGGUAAAGGUUUGAGUUCAAACACGGGAUCACCCUUGGGUGGAGGGGGAUCCCCAAGAAUUUCAACGGGAAGAUUAUGUUUCAGCAUAGUUUCAUGUUUAAGGAACACUUCAUCUAUUUCCCUUCUUUCCUUCAUAAACAUAUCAUUUUCAUGGUCUAGCAAAUAUUGUUCUAACGGAUCAGUAGGAGGCACAACAAUGGAAGCAAGACCAAUAAUCUCAUCCUUACUAGGUGGUUCCCUAUCACGAGGUUGUCUACGAAACUUAGCAAAAUUAAACUUAUGAGACAUACCAUCUAAGCCAAUGGUGACAGUAUCUUUUUCACAAUCAAUCUUAGCACUAGCUGUAUUCAAGAAGGGUCUACCAAAAAUAAUUGGACAGAAGGCAUCUUGUGGGGAAGCAAGAACAAGAAAAUCAACAGAGUAUUUAACUUGCCCACACAAAACUUCAACAUCUCUAACAAUCCCAACAGGUUUAAUGGUAUCCAUAUUAGCAAGCUUAAUAGUAACAUCAAUGUCUUCUAAUUCAACUGGUGCAAUGUCGUGCAGAAUUUGUUUAUAUAAAUCAUAAGGUAUAGCACUAGCACUAGCACCCAUAUCACAUAAACCAUGAUAACAAUGAUCUCUUAUUUUAACAGAAAUAACAGGCAUGCCUACGACAGGUCUAUGUAUCUUAGUAUCUAGUCUAGCAAUAUUAGCAGUUUCAUCAAAGAAAUAAAUAACAUGCCCAUCUAAAUCAUCAUCCAAGAGAUCUUUAACCAUAGCAAUACUAGGUUCAACAUUGAUUUGCUCAGGAGGUGUAUAAGUCCUAAUAUUACUCUUACGAACAACUGUCGAAGUUUUAGCAUGAUCCUUUAUCCUAACAGGAAAUGGGGGUUUCUCAACAUAAGUAGUAGGAACAAUAGGAUCACUAUAGGUGAUAGUCUUUUCUUCGACUGUAAUAGGUGCAACUACUUUCACUUCAACGGGAGGAUUAUAUUUAAACCACUUCUCUUUAGGGAGAUCAAUGUGAGUACCAAAAGAUUCACAGAAAGAAGCUACUAUCUCAGAGUCAAGUCCAUACUUAGCGCUAAAUCCACGAAAAGCAUCGGUAUCCAUAAAAGAUUUAACACAAUCGAACUUAGGUGUCAUACGUGACUCCUUACCAUCGUCGGAACCCCAAUCUUCAGAGUUGCGUUUAAUUCUUUCCAAUAAGGCCCAUUUGAAAUCAAUAGUCUUCAGCAUAUAAGAACCAGCACAGGAAGUAUCGAGCAGGUUGCGAUUAUUAAGAGAAAGCCGAGCAUAAAUUUUUUGAAUAAUCAUUUCUCCGGAGAGCUCAUGAUUGGGGCAUGAAUAUAACAUUGACUUAAGCCUCCCCCAAGCUUGAGCGAUGCAUUCUCCUUCGUGAGGCCAGAAAUUAUAUAUGUAAUUACGAUCACAAUGAACAAGAUGCAUAGGAUAGAACUUCUGGUGAAAUUCCAACUUCAAUCGUUUGUAAUUCCAAGAUCUCGUAUCUUCACAUAGCCUAUACCAUGUCAAUGCAUCUCCCUUAAAAGAUAAAGGGAAGACCUUCCUUUUGACAACAUCGUCGGGAAUACCUGCAAGCUUAAAUAAUCCACAAACUUCAUCCACAAAGAUAAGGUGUAAAUCAGGAUGCAAUGUUCCAUCUCCUGUAAAUGGAUUAGCUAGCAGUUUCUCUAUCAUACCCGAAGGAAUCUCAAAGUAAAUAUUUUCAUAAAGUUCAGUAGGUUUAGGAGCUACUCUUUGCUCUUCUGGUCGAGGUGAAGAUACCCCGAACAAGCCCCUCAAAGGAUUAGUUUCCAUAGUGACAAGUAAUAGAAAAUUUCAGCACACUACAUAAAUGUUUCCUUACCAAGUUCCAGUCACCAAAAGCGCUACACUCCCCGACAGCGGCGCCAAAAAAGAGUCUUGAUGACCCACAAGUUUAGGGGAUCUAUCGUAGUCCUUUCGAUAAGUAAGAGUGUCGAACCCAACGAGGAGCAGAAGGAAAUGAUAAGCGGUUUUCAGUAAGGUUUUCUCUGCAAGCACUGAAAUUGUAGGUGAUAGAUAGUUUUGUGAUAGGAUAAAUAGUAACGAGUAACAAGUAAACAAAGUAAAUAAAGUGCAGCAAGGUGGCCCAAUCUUUUAUGUAGCAAAGGACAAUCCUGGACAAUUUCUAAUAAUGAGAAAGGAUCUCCUGAGGACACAUGUGAAUUAUCAUCAAGCUAGUUUUCAUCACGCUCAUAUGAUUCACGUUUCGUACUUUGAUAAUUUGAUAUGUGGGUGGACCGGUGCUUGGGUACUGCCCUUACUUGGACAAGCAUCCCACUUAUGAUUAACCCUUAUUGCAAGCGUCCGCAACUACAAACGAAGUAUUAAGGUAAACCUAACCACAUCAUUACAUAUAUGGAUCCAAAUCAGCCCCUAACGAAGCAACGCAUAAAUUAGGGUUUAAGCUUCUGUCACUCUAGCAACCCAUCAUCUACUUAUUACUUCCAUAUGCCUUCCUCUAGGCCCAAAUAAUGGUGAAGUGUCAUGUAUUCAACAUUCACAUAACACCACUAAAAACAUACAUCUCAUCAAAAUAUCAAACGAAUACCAAAUUCACAUGACUACUAAUAGCAAGACUUCACCCAUGUCCUCAGGAACAAAUGUAACUACUCACAAAGCAUAUUCAUGUUCAUAAUCAGAGGAGUAAUAAUAUGCAUAAAGGAUCUGAACAUAUGAUCUUCCACCAAGUAAACCAAUUAGCAUCAACUACAAGGAGUAAUCAACACUACUAGCAACCCACAGGUACCAAUUUGUGGUUUUGAUACAAGAUUGGAUACAAGAGAUGAACUAGGGUUUUGAGAGGAGAUGGUGCUGGUGAAGAUGUUGAUGGAGAUUGACCCCCUCCCUAUGAGAGGAUCGUUGGUGAUGACAUUGGUGAUGAUUUCCCCCUCCCAGAGGGAAGUGUCCCCGGCAGAACAGCUCCGCCAGAGCCCUAGAUUGAUUCCACCAAGGUUCCGCCUCGUGGUGGCGGAGUUUCGUCCUGUAAGCUUGCCCAUGAUUUUUUCCAGGGUAAGAGCCCUCAUAUAGCAGAAGAUGGAUACCGGAGGGCCACCAGGGGGGCCAGGAGACAAGGGGCGUGCCCAGUAGGGGGGGGGGCACCCUCCUGGACAGGGUGUGGGCCCCCUGGUGUACUUCUUCCGCUCAAUAAUUCUUAUUAAUGCCAAAAAUAGGUUUCGUGGAGUUUCAGGAUUUUUGGAGUAGUGCAGAAUAGGUUUCCAAUGUUUGCUCCUUUUCCAGCCAGAAUUCCAGAUGCCGACAUUCCCCCUCUUCAUGGUAAAUCUUGUAAAAUAAGAGAGAAUGGCCAUAAGUAUUGGGAUAAAAUGUGUAAUAACAGCCCAUAAUGCAAUAAAUAUUGAUAUAAAAGCAUGAUGCAAAAUGGACGUAUCAGUUGGCCAUAGAGUUGUGCUCUUUCUUCUUCUUGGCAUAUACAUCCAAUUCAUCCUCAUGUUCUUCAGGGGCUUUGAUCAAUUUGGCCCACUCGGCAACUGCUGAUUGGUACCUCGUACCCUCAGACAUCCAAACAAUUCUACUAUCAGGAUAGAAGUGUGUUGUGGAGUAGAAUUGCAUGAUGAGUUCAUGAUUCCACUUGGUCAACUUCUGACCCACAAACUUGUCCAUUCCACAUAGGCUAAAGCUCUCAUGCACUCCUGGAAAAAGAUAUUCAUUCUCAUCAAUGUAUUCCAAUCUGCCCACUUCAUGUCACAAACAAUGGGCUUCUUGUCAAGCAAAAUGGUCUCAUAGAAAUCCUGCUUCUCCUUGGUGUGGAACGUGCAAUCCGCAGCAGUCCUUCUCCUCACAACAUAUGGAUCUGACUGUAUCCAUAGUCUAAGACAUGCAUCCUUCCUUAUGGUCAUGUCUUCUGCCACUGGAUGGUUGUCAUCAUGAUUUGGAAUCUUAGGUUUCAGCUUCCUAAGCACUUGCGCUUCAACAUCUUCUUCCUCAUCAAUCUCACGCACCGAGGCCUUGUUCUUUUCAGCAGCUGGAAUAUUUAUUGUGCUCCUCUUUGGUGCAGUCUUGGGAGAUGGAGCAAAAGCUUUGGGAGUUGUCUUGGGCUUAGAAGGGGCAGCCCCAGACUUGAUGGCAUCUCCCAUCAGCUUUUGAGUCUUUGAUGCUGGUGCAGUAUCUUCUUCUUCCUCUUGCUCUUCAUAUUCAGUGGGAGAUCUCAUCAUAGAGGAUCUCCCAAUGACUCUUGCCAUGGUCUUCUUGACCCUUUCUUUCCUCUUCUUGCCUUCACCAGCCUCCUUUGGUUCAAGAGUGAACUCAAUUGUUUCUUCUAUUGCAACUUUCCAUGGCUUGGAUGUUGGCACUCUCUUGGCAGGUGCCUUCUUGUGCAUACUAGGUUUUGUUGAAGCAACAGUGCCAUACUCUUUCUUAGAAACUUUCUUCUUUGAGGUGGCCUCAUCCUCAACAGCCACAUAGUCCUCAUCCUCUGAGUCUGAGUUUCUCUUCUUCCUUGUCCUUGUAGCUGCUUUGUGCAAAUUGCUUGGGGUGCUCCUGCUGUCCUCAUCAUAGCUGCUACAGGGACUAGUGCCCUCACUCAUGUUCACUUGCCCUUCUAACUUGUUUUGGCUAUCACUCUGACCAGACAUACUGGCAAAGCAAACUGACAGCAGACCCUGUGAAUAGUUGUAGAUAAGAUAGAGUGGAUGAGCAUCACAAAGUAUAGAGUUUUUGCAAAACAAAUGAGUCAAAAACUUAGUUUUAUUUUUUCCAUAGAAAGCAUUUCAAAGCUACCGAUUUGUUAAACUCGGUGACACCGAAGCAACUUUGGAGUUUAAACUGGUGAAAUCGAUCAGACCGAGACACAGUUCAAUGACUCCGAGAUUGCUAGGGUUUCACAAAGAGUUGAACUCGCUCCCACUGAUUUGCAACUUUCGGUCAGACUGAAAAGUGCAAGUGCAAUGGCCUAAGCCAAAUUGGUGAGACCAAUUUCCACAACUCGGUCGGUUCGAGAUGAGUUCGGCGGAAAGCUAACCCUAAAUUUUUGAAUCUAAUCUAAUCUAAGGGAUGUUCUUGCUGGACAGGAUGAUUUCAUACGUGGUAAAGAACAUGGCGUUGACCUUGUGCUCAGAAUCGGAGGUAAAAAGAAUGCACAAGGGGUCGAACUCAUACCCUAGUUUGGCGAUGAGCUCACUACGGUGGCAACUGCAGGGUUGAAAUCCGUUGACAGUGGCGGAGACCAGCGGCUAGAGGUCGCUGGCGAUGAGAGGACGAUCCGGAGACCCGAGGCGGCAGAGCAGGACACGCGCGGGCUGAGGGGUUUUGGAGAAAUUUCCAAAUUUUGACUCGUCGGUAUAUAUAUCCUGACCUUGUCAGUGUGACCGAGUGGAACAACUCGGUGGCACCGAGAUGCAGAAUUGCACGCGUUUACUACAAUCGGUGUGACCGGAAAUUUCUAACCGGUUGUACCGAGAUUGAAAACCUAGAUCAACUCAGCGAACUCGGUCGGACCAAAAAGGAUGAAUCGGUAAGAUCGAAAUGCACAGAGAGGUUUUGGAAGUUUAAGUCUAUGACAAAUUGGGGACUCCGAGUGCUCCUCACACUGAGUGUUCGAAUCUGACUUGAUCAAACUUUGUGAUGUAGCAUGAAUAGAGUUUGAGACGAGAAAAGCAUAGAUAGCUAGAGGAAGUUCUUAGGCAUUCUUGUCCAUCCAUUUGGCAAAAGAAAAAGAGCCAAACAAUCAAAGCAACAAAUGGAUGUUCUGAAUGAGUAAAAUAUGCAGUCAACAUGCUCACACAAUAAAAUCGCAAAUGAAAUAUGUAGCAAAGCAUGCACAAACACUCUAGCAUCUAUCAAGCAAUUGGUGAUGACUAGGUCAUCUAUAUAUGAGUAUAUUGACUUAGGAUUCAAUUGAGAACAUUUGAUCAUAGGUCAUACUCAUCAUUUAAGCACAAGUGGGGAUUCCACUUUUACAUAAAGCAUUGUUGUGUUCACACAUUAGAGUAGCUUUAGCUCAAUUCUUAGAGUAAAGCUCCCCCUAGAUGUGAUAUCCCCCCUAAGAGGGAUGAACUAACUUUGGGUUUUGUUGAUGACGACUUCAUAUAGAUGUUGAAGAUGUGGAUGCUGAAUGUUAAUGUAGAUUAUUCGGAGCAAUCCAUUGGAGUGAGUUGCACUUUCAAUACCUACACGGGUUAGUCCCACAAGGAACAAACAAGGAUAUCCAUAGACAUAGAGUGAAGUUCACACAAGAUGAUGUCCAUGAAAGCAUUAGGUUACCUUGUCCCUUGUCUUACCAACAAGAGGGUUUGUGACUCCUUGAACUAGUGCAAGAUGUGGAAGUUGUUUGCAAUUGUCCUCGCCAAGAUGAUAUGAGUGAAGUAUAUUGGCAGAGUCACCCUCAAGCACUCUCUAGUUCUUCUUCUUUGGGAUCCACAUCAACUUGAUGGGAAUCCUUGGAGUUGUAGUUGGACUUGAUGAAGCAGAACUUGAUGUAGUCUUGGGAACCCACUUGACCAAGGCUUUAGGAGCUUCUUCAAAUGCAUCAAUCUCCUCUUGAAGCUUGUCCUUGCCUUUUUGCUUGUGGUCCUGUGGUGGAAGAUCAUCUUGAGCUUGUGUCCGCUUGAAAGAAGUAGGAUCAUACUUCUCUUGUUGAGGACCAAACUUCGUCUUGGGGUAUUGAUCUUCUUCCCACCCAACUCCAUUGGCAUUAAAUUUUUGUUCAAAACCAACUCCUUGAUUUUUCCGGUGUCUUCCUAGCUUGCGUACAAUUUCCUCAAAUUGCUUACUUCCGACAAGACUCUUGUAAACACCUUUCUCUAUAAUUCCCUUCAAUAAGCUAUUUUAUUGCUCAAGUGUAACUUGGCUAAGAGAAUCAUUAGUGGAAUCAAGAUAACUACUAGAAGCAACAAUAUUGGAUUUAACAUGAUUAUUGUUACUACUAGAAGAAGAAUCUUUCUUAUUCUUGUUGCUAGAUUUUACUUGUGGCAUGUAAGUAGACAAGAGUAAAUGCUUGGCAAUGUAAGAAGAACUUUUCUUACGAAGAUCAUCAUUGAUUGCUUUUAAGAACCAUGUUCUUGCUCAAGGUUGAGCUUUUCAAAGCGUAGCUUUUCAUGAGUCUUUAAAAGAUCUUGAUGAUCUUCUAAGGUAGUUUCAUGAGCUAACUUAAGAGUGUUUAGUUCUUUAGUUAGACACUCAAUCUCCUUCUUAUCAUCGUCAUUCGUUUUAUCUUGAUUAGCAUGAUUAAUAGCAAUUUCAUCAUAGUUUUCAUUACUAGAGUUGUUCAACAAGUAAAUUAUCAUCACCUAGCAAAUCAUCUUCAUCACUAUUGAAAUCAACAUACUCGGGGUGUGAUACCUUUCGGCCUUCAGCCAUUAAGCAUCUUCCAAUUCCUUCAUUUGGCGAGUCAAAUAUUUUGUAGGAGUUGGUUGACACAAGUGCUAGACCGGCAACACCUUCAUCUUGAGUAUAUUUGGAGUUAGAGUGAUAACUUCUCUUGGAGUGAUGGUCGGAGUCGGAGCCGGAUACCCAUUCACCAACGUGAGCUAGAUGUUUUCGUUUUGUGUAGCUCCUUGAUGACUUGUCCUUCCUUUCCGAAUCCUUGCUUAUGAGAGAGGUUUUUUGUUCAUAACGAUCAUCUCUACUCCUCUCUCUUGGAGGUGAUUAUUCUCUUCUACUUCUCCUUUUGGGUGAAUCUUCUCUUUUUUAUAGGGAGCCGUACUCUCAUUAGAGUAGUGUUCGGGUCUUCCACAAUUGUAGCAAUUACGCUCACGACUCGAAGAUCUUUUGUCAUUGUAGGACCUUGACUUGGAACUUCUUUCUUUGCUUCUAUUCUUGUAGAACUUGUUGAAGUUCUUCACCAUUAGGGUCUCAUUGAAGGCAUGUUUCUCACUUGAUGAUGUAGGAAAAUCACAUGAGGCUUUGUAAGCACCACUUGACUUGUUGUGAACCUCUUCCUUAUCCUUGAGUGACAUCUCAUGAGCAACAAUUCUUCCAAUGACUUCCAUUGGCUUGAGAUCUUUGUAAUUGGGCAUCAUUUGGAUCAAUGUGCACACGGUAUCAUAUAUUCCAUCCAAGGCUAUUAGGAUCUUCUUGAUGAUGUAUAUAUCGGUCAUCUCUUCACUUCCUAAGCCGGCAUUCUCAUUUGUGAUGAGAGCAAGACUAGAGUACAUUUCAGCGACACCUUCACCAUCCUUCAUUUUGAACUUGUCAAGAUGACUUUAAAGCACAUCCAAUUUGGAUUCCUUGACGGAGUCGGUACCUUCGUGCAUAUCAAUCAAAGUAUCCCGAAUUUCCUUUGCAUUCUCAAGACGGCUGAUUUUGUUGAAUUCUUCGGGGCACAAUCCGUUGAAGAGGAUAUCGCAAGCUUGAGCGUUGUAUUGUAGCAUCCUCAAUUAUUCCGCGGAUGCUUCACGAUUUGGUUCUCUCCCAUAGAAGAAUUCACCUUGCAAGACAAUACACACAAUAGCCCAAACGGCGGGGUUAUGUCCAAGAAUAUGAUUUUCAUCUUAUGCUUCUAACUAGCUGUCGGCGUUCUGGGAACGGGGGUCCCCAAACUAGCCUGCCUGCGUCGGAUGGCGUGGCUCCACCAGUGGCCUAGUAUGACCCAUCUUUGUCAACCAACGCUCAAGACCCUCACGAGGGGCCAAGCCUCGCGGGGCGGACGACACGAGGCCUCCUCAGGAACGGCCUCACCAAGCAGACUCGCGAGGAGGCGGAGAUAUCAAGGCAAGGGAUACCUCGCGAGGUUCCCGUGAUACAAGCCAUGACGACCAAGGCCAGGCGGGCGCCAGGCGGGCGCCAGCACGCGCUGUGUCCUCGUUUCCCCUUUGGUGCUAAGGGGGCAAGCGCAGGCGCGGAGUACCGAGGCAUCAAGCAAAGGUUUCCCUAUCGGUGCAACAAUACCGAGACCAGCAGGACGACGGGAUGGAGGUCAUCGUGGAGCCCAAGAUGGUGUUACCACCAGCGCCUUUGAAAGGCGAAGACCACCUUUAGUCAGGAUAGCGUGUACUAGCUAUCCCCUUUCAAAUUGGCCGUUGUUGGAUCCCUUCCCACUCAAUAUUUGGGAAGAGGACCAUGGCUUCUAUAAAUAGGACUAGCCACCACAGUAGAAGAUGAUGGUUCAUCCAGAUCGCCCUCACCCACGCAAGUUCGCCAAGCACAAGAACACCUUUCCUCAGGAGGCUGUUCUUCCCUUGUACUGUUCAUCAUCAGCCCAAGAGGCAAUCAACCACCACACACAGGAGUAGGGUAUUACAUCACAACGGUGGCCUGAACCUGUAUAAACCUUGUGUCUCUUGUGCUGUGAGUUCAUCGAGCUAGCUUAGGGAUCGCAGCGAGGCUGAGAGCGUGAUUCGGUAGGGGGAAAUCUUCGUGCGCACCCCAGUGUUCGAACCUCAAGGGUUUUGCCGGAACCCUAUAUCCAACAUAUGGCUCGCCAGGUAGGGGUGUGCCAGAGCUUUUCUUCCGUCGACCCAUGCUCCGCCAACACAAUGCUUUGCCCCCAUGGCGGACAUCGCGCCUCCGGCCCCGGCGACCGAUGAGAGUGCUGGGGCCAGGGGGCUCCGAGCCUUGGCCCCCGCCUUACGGCGGGUGCAGUGGCCGCCCAAGUUCAAGUCGGAGAUGCCGCCGCGCUAUGAUGGCAUGGCGGACCCGCUGGUUUUCCUGCUGGCAUACAAGGAGGCCGUCCUCAAGGCCGGGGUUGACGACAAGGUCAUGGCCAACUGGCUUCCCACGGCCCUCACUGGCAUCCCACGCGCUUGGCUGCUCAACCUAUCGGCAUCUUUUGUGGCCUCCUGGGAGGAGCUGCGCGACCUCUUCCUCGCCCACUACGCAACGCUGGUGCCCCCGGUCAUCGUAGCUCUUCUAGGUGGCUCGCAGGCGCCACCAUCAGACCGCCACGCCAAGCCGUUCUUUCGCCAGAUCAGCGCCGUCCUCGCGCGGCAAGGAGCUACCCCGGGUUGGGUGGCGCCCAAGGCCGACCUGACCUUCAACUCGGAAGAUCACCCGUCACCACCGCCUGCUCGGGUGCGCUCCCGAUGCUCUACACGCCCACCAUCUGCCAAGUGGCCGUCACCAAAACCCUCAUCGACGGCGGUGCCGGCCUCAACAUGCUCUUGGUGGAGGCCUUCAGCCUCCUUCACGUACCACUGAAGCGGCUCCGACCCAGCAAGCCCUUCUCAGGCGUCGGAGGCGGGUCCUCCAGUUCUCUGGGGCAAAUCCGCCUUCCCGUGACCUUUGACACCCACAACAACUACCGCACGGAGCUGGUCGACUUCGACGUUGCUCACGUUGGCCUCCCGUACAACGCCAUCCUCGGAUACCCUGCCCUGGCUCAGUUCAUGGCAGCAACCCAUCCGGCCUACAACCUCAUGAAGACGCCCGGGAGCAAGGGCGUCCUCACCAUAGCUGGAGAUACCAAGGAGGCUCUUGUGGCUCUCAAGCUUUCCCUCAAGGCCGCCGCGGCGGCGCAGCCCGCCGACGCAGAUGCCUCCAAGGCCAAGGAAGCUACACCGACCAAAAAGAAGCAGCUGUUCACCCAGGACAAGGCGGAGACAAAGCAGGUGCCAGUUGAGGAAGACGGGUCCUCGGGAGCCACCUUCACCAUAGGUGCCGGCCUCGACCCCGACCAAGAGGAGUCGUUGGUGAGGUUCUUGCGCUCGAACAAGGAGGUGUUCACAUGGAACCCAAGCAACUAGCAGGGGUCCCAUGGGAGGUGAUUGAGCAUCACCUGAAUGUGUGCCCCAAUGUAUGCCCUGUGAAGCAGAAGGCGAGGCGGCAGUCCACCGAGAAGCAGGCCUUCAUCAUCCAAGAAACCCGCAAGCUGGAGGCAGCAGGAGUUAUUCGCGAGGUUCGCUACCCCGAAUGGCUGGCAAACCCCGUUGUCAUGCCAAAAAGGGGGGAAAGGAACGCAUGUGCAUAGACUUCACCAACCUCAAGAAGGCCUUCCCCCAAGAUCUGUUCCCGCUUCCCGCAUCGACCAGAUCGUCGACUCCACCGCCGAGUGCAACCUGCUAUGUUUCUUGGAUGCGUUCUUGGGUUAUCACCAGAUCAAGAUGGCGGUAGAAGACAUGGAGAAGACAUCCUUGCUGACCCCAUGUGGGUUGUACUGCAACAUUUGCAUGCCAUUCGGAUUAUGCAACGCGGGCGCGGCCUUCCAACGGCUGAUGCACAUUGCCUUGGGCUGGUAGCUCGGGAGAAACGCCGAGGCUUACGUUGACGACAUUGUGGUGAAAUAUCGGGAAGCAAGCACCUUGAUCCAAGACUUGGAGGAGACCUUCGCGAGCCUACGCCAUGUGGACCUGCGAGUCAAUCCGGAAAAGUGUGUGUUCGGCAUCCCUUCUGGCAAGCUGCUAGGCUUCCUUGUGUCGCACAGGGGGAUCGAGGCCAACCCGGAGAAGGUCAAGGCGGUCGAAGACAUGAGUCCGCCGCAAACCCUCAGAGAAAUGCAUAAGAUUGCUGGUGGCGUCACCGUGUUAGGACGCUUCAUCUCCAAGUUGGGGGAGCGUGCCCUACCAUUCUUCAAGCUGAUGAAGAAAAAGGGCCCAUUUGAGUGGACACAGGAGGCCGACCAAGCAUUUGAAGACCUCAAGGAAUACCUGACCACCCCCCCCCCCAUGAUGGUGGUGCCGCGCCCUCUCAAGCCCCUGGUGAUCUACUUUGCCGCCACUCCCUACUCCGCCAGUGCAGCCCUGGUGGCGGUUCAGGAGGAGCACCAGGCUAAGGCCGCGUCCCGAGCAGCUACAGCCCUAGCCGGGGCAGCACAAUACCAAGAAAUCCUCGCGAAGACCACAGCAACCGUAGCAGGGGAGCAAGCUCAGUAGGAUGGUGCCCCCUGGGCUGAAGAGGCCCCGCCAAGCGAUUAGGCGCUGGGGGCUCCAUCAUCUCAGGAGGCGCCUCAGCCUCCGGAAGACGCAGGCCAUGAUAGCGCCCCCACCCUCGUCGAGCAUCCCAUGUACUUCGUCAGCAUGGUGUUGCGAGAUGCAAGAGCACAGUACCCCAUGCCUCAGAAGCUCAUAAUCGCGCUCUUGGUGGCCUCGCGCAAGCUACGACACUACUUUCAAGGCCACCCCAUCAAAGGUCGUCUCGGCAUACCCAUUGGAAAGGGUACUCAGGAGCCCCAACUCCGUAGGGAGAGUCGCCGAAUGGAACAUCGAGCUGCAGGCAUUUCAGUUCGAGUUCAGCACAACCAGGGUCAUCAAGGGAGCCGCACUUGCUGAUUUCGUGGCUGAAUGGACGGAAGCACUAGAGCUCAAGGCGGGCGAGGACCAGUCUCUCUCCCCAGGAAGUGAGGCACCAGAUGGCUAGGUCAUGAACUUCGAUGGUGCAUUCUCGCGGCAAAGCGUGGGGGCUGGUGCAGUGCUUACAUCCCCUACUCAGGACAAGCUUUACCACGUCGUUCAGCUCUGUUUCCAGCAGGGCGAGAAGGUCUCCAACAACAUAGCAGAAUACGAGGUCCUCAUAGCAGGCCUGAAAGCUGCAACAUCUCUGGGAGUAAAGCGCCUCGUCAUCAAGGGCGAUUCACAACUCCUCGUCAACUUCUCCAACAAGGUGUAUGAGCCGAAGGACGAGCACAUGGAAGCAUAUCUUGCGGAAGUACGCAAGAUGGAAAAGCAGUUCUGGGGGCUGGAGUUGCAGCAUGUGCCCGACGGCACCAACCAAGAGGCUGAUGACAUUGCCAGAAGGGCGUCCAAACGGCUGCCUCAGAAGCCUGGCAUUUUCGAGGAACGACUCUUCAAGCCGUCGGCGGCACCAUCACUUUCAAGAAUGGCACAGCCUGGGGAAGAACUCCCUCAGCCAUCUACCACAGGAGCCCCGGCCUGUGGCCCGACCUCGGGAGCACGCCUACUCUUGGUGCUGGAGCCUCAGGAGGGAUGCUGGACCAAGGAAUUCAAGGAGUACCUGACGCAAGGGACGAUGUCGGAGAAAGAGGAGGAUGCGGAGCGCGUGGCCCGACAGGCCACAACCUACUGCAUCUAAGACGGUGAGUUGUACUGGAAGCGGUCGAAUGGCGUUUCCCUACGUUGCAUCUCCAGGGAACAGGGGAAAGAGCUACUGGCCGACAUACAUGGUGGAGAUUGCGGACACCACUCAUCGUCACGGACCCUCGUCCGCAAGGCAUUUUGCAGCGGAUUCUAUUGGCCUACGGCACUCAAUGACGCGACCGAGCUGGUGAAGUCCUGCGAGGCCUGCUAAUUCCACGCCAAGCAGAUCCAUUAGACAGCUUAGGGCCUCCAGACCAUCCCGCUCUCGUGGUCGUUUGCGGUCUGGGGGCUGGAUAUCUUGGGCCCAUUCCCUUGAGCGCCUGGGGGCUACCGUUACCUCUACGUCGCCAUCGACAAGUUCACUAAGUGGGCGGAGGUGGAAGCCGUCUGCACCAUCCCAGCCGGCUCCGUGGUCAAGUUCAUCAAGGGCCUCAUGAGCCGAUUUGGGGUCCCUAACCGCAUCAUCACCGACAACGGUUCACAGUUCACUAGCAAUCUCUUCAAGACUUAUUGUGCUAACCUUGGAACGCAGAUCUGCUACGCUUCGGUGGCGCACCACCGGAGCAACGGCCAUGCUGAAUGCGCCAACACAGAGGUCCUGAGGGGCCUGCGGCAGGGGCUGGCACGACGAGCUCCAGUCCGUGUUGUGGUCCAUCUGCACCACCGCCACUAAGCCAAUGGGCAAGACCGCAUUCUCCCUCGUCUAUGGAGCAGAAGCGGUUCUCCCUCACGAGGUCAAGCGUUACUCCGCGAGGGUCCUGGCGUUUGAUGAGGCGCGGCAAGACACCAUGCGGGGGAUGGACCUCGUGCUGGGGGAGGAACGCCACUGUGAAGCAACACUGCAGGCGGCAAGAUACCAGCAGGUGCUGUAGCGGUAUCACUGUCGCAACAUCCGCCCUAGGACGCUCGAGGUGGGUGACCUCAUCCUGAGGCGGGUGCUCUCCAGGGAAGGGCUGCACAAACUCUCACCCAUGUGGGAGGGCCCGUUCAAGGUCGUCCACGUUUCUAGGCUUGGUGCCGCGCUCCUGGAGACCCAGGACGGGGUACCCAUCCCGAACGCGUGGAACAUCCAGCAUCCCCGGAAGUUCUACCCCUGAAGAAAGGCCCGGUGCCUGUGAAGAAGGCCUAGUUCAUGUGAAGCUCGCCGCCCAUGACACUCAUGUAAUGAUGAGUGGGGUUGUACACGCCCCGGAGUCUCAAGAGUGCCGCCCUUGGGCCUCGGGGGCUCCCUCCGACACCAAGUGGCAGCACUUAGCUCCGGGCUGGUGAGAAGACUUGAAGACUAGACUAGGUGUCGGACGCGGCUUUUCAUUUGCUCUUCACGAGGAGGGAUCUACAGUGUCCUCCUGAGCUCAUCCAGACCCCGUCUCACGCUUCACCGAAGCGCGGCGACGGGACGACCCGCUACCGCCUUCGAGGCGGGCACGGGGGCGUGGCGGUUAAUCGUAGCUACAGCUGGAGGAGCUGCCACCGGAGGAAGAGCCACCGUGGCUUGACGAGCCAUGGUCGCCGCCGGGAGCAAGUUCGCCUUCACCCUCAUCACGACCAUCGCCAAGACCGAGCACCUCGUCGUUGUCGUCAUUGUAUUCAAGACAACACCCAAUGCGGCGGCCAUCUUCUCCAAACACCCUCACGUAGAGGGUCGCGUCGCCAUCGUUCUUGAAGUGGAGUGUGCACCGCCUGCCCAAACCGCGCGCGCAGGCAAACGUCUGCCAGCCUCGGGCCAGGGUUGCGUUGCCGGCGACGGAGACCUCCACCGCGACCUAGGAGGCCCUGCUGCAGCAGCCGUCCGCCUGCAGCCAGAGCCUGCUUGGGACAGCGGCCGGAAGCUCGCCGAUGAAGGAGCACGGGAGCUGAAGCCAGUUGACGAUAGGGUUAUCCGACCACACGACGAAUUCCGGCAGCACCUCCGUCGAGUGGAAGCGGGGCCGGGGAGGCCACGCGGCCACAACGCGCCUUCCUCCACCAAUCGGGCUGCCUCGACAUGGGCGGCCCCCACCACGUGAAUAGCCACCGCCACGGCCGCGGAGAGCCAUGGUGGGGGUCACAAAGUGCUUACGAGGGCGACCGCAUCCGCACUUGGGCGGAGGAGAGCCAGGCCCUACCUGGCGAGCCUUCCCCUUCUCUACGGCCGAAAACCUCUUCACAGGCGCCAUGGGGGGGUGCUACAAGCAACGCAGCGAGGGAGGAGAAGCGAGUGGAAUGGGAAGAGAUGGGCGACGGGGGCCCUCACCCCUCCUCAUUUAUAGCCCAAGGAAGGCCAACCGUCGACCUCCACGAUCGCAGGUAAUGAUAACCCUUUUUGCAUGCAGCAGGGACUCAUCAAGUCGGGUAGUUGCCGAGGCAGUGUGGGGAAGCGGAGACGCCCAUGUACAAUCAGUCGCCACGCAUCGACCAAGGACGCAGGCUGUUGGGGCCCGCGGCGCUCCGCACUUGCCCUUUGGCUUCGCCGCUAAGCCAAGUCCGAGCGUGCCUUGGGCCCGGGGGCUACAGUCGGCGUUCUGGGAACGGGGGUCCCCAGACAUGCCUGGCUACGGCCCACGGCGUGGCUCCACCAGUGUACCAGUAUGGCCCAUCUUUGUCAACCAACGCUCAAGACCCUCGCGAGGGGCCAAGCCUCGCGGGGCGGACGACACUAGGCCUCCUCAGGAACGGCCUCACCACGCAGGCUCACGAGGAGGCGGAGAGAUCAAGGCAAGGGAUACCUCGCGAGGUUCCCGUGAUGCAAGCCAUGACGACCAAGGCCAGGCGGGCACUAGCGCGUGUAGUGUCCUCGUUUCCCCUUUGGUGCUAAGGGGGAAAGCGCAGGCGCAGAGUACCGUGGCAUCAGGCAAAGGUUUCCCUAUCGAUGCAACAAGACCGAGACCAGCAGGACGGCGGGACAGAGGUCAUCGUGGAGCCCAAGACGGCGUCACCACCAGCGCCUUUGACAGGUGAAGACCACCUUUAGUCAGGAUAUCUUGUACUAGCUGUCCCCUUUCAAAUUGGCCGUUGUUUGAUCCCUUCCCGCUCAAUAUUUGGGAAGAGGACCAGGGCCUCUAUAAAUAGGACUGCCACCACAGUAGAAAACGACGGAUCAUCCAGAUCGCCCUCACCUACGCAAGUUCGUGAAGCACAAGAACACCUCUCCUCAAGAGGUUGUUUUUCCCUUGUACUGUUCAUCAUCAGCCCAAGAGGCAAUCCACCACCACACACAGGAGUAGGGUAUUACACCACAACGGUGGCCCGAACCUGUAUAAACCUUGUGUCUCUUGUGUUGUGAGUUCAUCGAGCUAGCUUAGGGAUCACGGUGAGGCUGAGAGCAUGAUUCGGUAGGGGGAAAUCUUCAUGCGCACCCCAGUGUUUGAACCUCAAGGGUUUUGCCGGAACCCGAUAUCCGACACUAGCAAAAUUAGUACCAUCAAAGUAAGGACCUCUAUGGUGGUAAUUUCCCUCGCUAGACGCCAUACUCUCCUAGGUUAUGAAACCAAGGCUAUGAUCACCAACGCUAUGGAAAUCAAGGCAAAUGGAGACCAAAGCUCUGGUACCACUUGUAGGAUCGAAAGUAUGUCUAGAGGGGGGGUGAUUAGACUACUUGACCAAAUAAAAAUCUUGCCUUUUCCCAAUUUUAAGUCAUGGCAAAUUUUAGCAACUUAGCACAAGUCAAGCAAUCAACCUACACAUGCAAGUCUAAGAGUAUAGCAGCAGAAUGUAAAAACAUUGCACAUGAAGGUAAAUGGAGGAGUUUAGAGGGAGCAAACGCAAUAUAGACACGGAGAUUUUUGGCGUGGUUCCUAUAGGUGGUGCCAUCAUACAUCCACGUUGAUGGAGACUUCGACCCACGAAGGGUAAUGGCUGCGCGAUUCCAUGGAGGGCUCCACCCACGAAGGGUCCACGAAGAAGCAACCUUGUCUAUCCCACCAUGGCCAUCGCCCAUGAAGGACUUGCCUCACUAGGGUAGAUAUUCACGAAGUAGGCGAUCUCCUUGCCCGUACAAACUCCUUGGUUCAACUCCAUAAUCUUGUCGGAGGCUCCCAAGUGACACCUAACCAAUCUAGGAGACACCACUCUCCAAAAGGUAAUAGAUGGUGUGUUGAUGAUGAACUCCUUGCUCUUUUGCUUCAAAUGAUAGUCUCCCCAACACUCAAAUCUCUCUCACGGAUUUGGAUUUGGUGGAAAGAUGAGUUGAAUGGAAAGCAACUUGGGGAAGGCUAGAGAUCAAGAUUCUUGUGGGUUGAUUGGAAUAUCUUGGUCUCAACACAUGAGUAGGUGGUUCUCUCUCAGAAAAUGUAUGUUGGAAGUGUAGGCACGUUCUUAUAGCUCUCUCCAUGAAUGAAGAGUGGGUGGAGGGGUAUAUACAACCCCCACACAAAAUCUAACCGUUACACACAGUUUACCAAACUCGGUGGGACCGAAUCAUGAAACUCGGUCGGACCGAUUUAGUUCAAAAUGUGAACGUUAGGCUUUUCGGUGGGACCGACAUGUCAACUUGGUGGGACCAAUUUCAUUAGGGUUAGGGCAUAACGAAAUCUCGGUUAGACCGAUCACAUAAACUCGGUGGGACCGAUUUCUGUAAUAGGAAAACAGAGAGUUGGUCAGGCAAACUCGGUGGGACCGAUUCGCUCAUUUCGGUGAGACCGAAAUGUUACGAAAAGGAAACAGAGAGUUUCAUUGCGAACUCGGUGGGACUGAUCGCUUGUCUCGGUUGGAUCGAAACGUUACGAAGGGAAACAGAGAGUUUGCGAUCCCAUCUCGGUGAGACCGAGAUCCCUAUCGGUGAGACCGAACUGACUAGGGUUUCUGGCAGUGGAUAUGUCAAGUGAACUCGGUGGCGCCGGAUAGAUCAAAUCGGUGGGGCCGAGUUUGACUUUUGGUUUGGGACAUGAAUGGAUAUGAGAAAGUGGUUGAGGGCUUUUGGAGAAUAUCACUAAGCAUUUUGAGCAAGCAAGCCAUUAAGCAACACCUCAUCCCCUUUUAAUAGUAUUGGCUUUUCCUAUGGACUCAGUGUGAUCUUGGAUCACUAAAAUGAAAAUGUAGAGUCUUGAGCUUGAACCAAUAUGUGUCCUUAGCAUUUUGAGGGGGUCCACAUUCCUUGUCCAUGCCAUGCUAAUCAUUGAACUUUCUGAAAUGAUAAUCUUGAAAGAGCAUUAGUUCAAUGAGCUAUAUGUUGUUAGGAAUUAUCAAAACCACCCAGGGAUAGUUGCGCUUUCAUCUAUGCAUAGGGGUUGAUGCACGUUCUUGUCUUUUUUUCUCCGGUAGAAAUCUUGGGGCACCCUUUGAGGUUAUUUGUGUUGGAUUGAGUAUUAUGAAUCUGAAAUUGUUUGAUGCAUAUCGUAUAAUUAACUCACGGUUACUCGCGGGGACAUUAGGGUAUCUAGGUGACAUUAGAGUUGGUUGAUAUGUAUCAUAUGGUGUUAUUUUAGUACAAACUCUUGAUUAGAUCGAUCGGAAAGAAUAGCUUGCUGUUAUUCUAGGAUAGAUUGAUCGAAAGAAUAGCUUUGAGGUGGUUUCGUACCCUACAAACAAUUUCUUCUUAUGUUCUCCACUAGAUAAGAACUUUGGAGUGAUUCUUCGUUGCACGUUGAGGGACGGUUAUAUGAUCCAAUUAUAUUAGCAUUGUUGAGGGAUUGCACUAGUGAAAGUACGAACCCUAGGCCUCAUUUUCAAGCAUUUUAAUACCGUUUGUGCGCCGCUUUAUCAAUUACUACCUUGCUAUUUUUUAUUGGUCCUACUACAAAAUUCAAUAUCUACUAUCAUUACUACACUUGUAUCACCAUCUCUUCGCCAAACUAGUGCACCUAUACAAUUUACCAUUGUAUUUGGUGUGUUGGGGACACAAGAGACUUUUUAUUAUUUAGUUGCAGGGUCGUUUGAGAGAGUCCAUCUUCAACCUACACCUCCCACAGAUUGAUAAACCUUAGGUCAUCCACUUGAGGGAAAAUUGCUACUAUCCUACAAAACUCUGCACUUGGAGGACCAACACAUGUCUACAAGAAUAAAGCUGUGUAGUAGACAUCAAUCAACCAAGGACUAUCGCAUACCAGCAUGGUGCAUUUAUUAAAAGAAGAAGGCACAUGACGCUCCAAUAAUUUACGCAUAUCAUGUGAACGAAACAAAUACACAGACAUACCGAUAAUUGUCGAAUAAAGAUGGGAUGCCUUCCGGGGCAUCCCCAAGCUUAGACACUUGAGUCUCCUUGAAUAUUUACUUGGGGUGUCUUGGGCAUCCCCAAGCUUGAGCUCUUGCCUCUCCUCAUUCUUCUCAUAUCAAUACCUCCUCCAUCUUCGAACACUNNNNNNNNNNNNNNNNNNNNNNNNNNNNNNNNNNNNNNNNNNNNNNNNNNNNNNNNNNNNNNNNNNNNNNNNNNNNNNNNNNNNNNNNNNNNNNNNNNNNNNNNNNNNNNNNNNNNNNNNNNNNNNNNNNNNNNNNNNNNNNNNNNNNNNNNNNNNNNNNNNNNNNNNNNNNNNNNNNNNNNNNNNNNNNNNNNNNNNNNNNNNNNNNNNNNNNNNNNNNNNNNNNNNNNNNNNNNNNNNNNNNNNUAGUGCAUAUAAUAUAAAAUCCCAUCCUGUCCUACCAUAACAUUAUUGUAUAAUUAUAAGCAAACAUUACCCACUGUAUGAUAUCACAAUUCUAUGGCCCCAACUUAAAGGAGGCUCAACAAGAUUUCAAACAUAAGCAAAUAAUGAAACUACAACAGCAAUCUGUGAAAACAGGACAGUCUGUAGUAAUCUGAACAUCAACCAUACUUUUGUUCCUUUAAAAAUUCUGAAAAAUUAGGACAAAAUAAACAAUUUGCAUAGAAGUAUUGUGUAAACAUUUCAGAAACAUUCGACGUUCCAGUAAAAAAUUAAAAUUCACGCGCUACAGCCAAUUUUUUUGUUUUUUCAUUGCACAUACCAAACAAGCAAUCUAAUCAUCCUAAAGGAAAAUCUUGGCACAUUAUUUUCAUAAUACAAUGGAUUUGUACAAGGGGAUAAUUAUUUUUGUUGAAAAGUUUCUGUAAUUAAGAUUCACAAAGUUUCCAUGGGCAUGAACAAAGUUCAAGGCAUGCUCCCACUUUAACAAUGCUCAUCUCUCUCACUUUCACUUUUCUUUUUGAAAAAGUUUUAGGUUCCCUCUUUUUAAAACUAUAUAAAAGCACACAACAGAAUAAAAUGACUCUCUAAAACCUCCGGGUUGUCUCCCUGGCAGUGCUUUCUUUAAAGCCAUUAAGCUAGGCAUAUAGUGCUCAAGUAAUGGAUCCACCCGGAUCCCAAGGUAUAUCAAAGCCAAUCUUAAUUAACAGUGAUUUGUAAUUUAGUGUUGAGCACAAAGUAAUAUAUUUCAUGCAACAACAAAGUCUAACUCUCUUCCUACGCAUCGGCAUGUCAUAAAAGAACAAUUCACGCACAUCAAGUAAAGGCCAAUACAUAGCAUAAGUAGUUUCUUGCAAUUUUAUUGUAUUGUAAACAUAGAGAGGUGGAGAUGUAGUUCCUCUCUCGUAAUAAUUGCAUGUAGGAGCAGCAAGCACAUGCAUAUUAUAUCUAUCAAAAUCAUUAUGGGUAAUGGUAAAACGCAACACAUCAAUAUAAUCCUUAAUAAGAGCAAACUUCUCCGAUAUAGUGUAGUUGGGAGAAUUCAAAAAGAUAAUAGGACUAUCAUGCAUGGGUGCAAUAGCAACAAUUUUAUUCUUAACAUAAGGAACUAUAGCAAGUUCAUCUCCAUAAGCAUAAUUCAUAUUGGCAUCAUGGCCACAAGCAUAGCAAGCAUCAAUUUCAUCAAAAAGGGAUAUUUCAAACGAAUUCAAGGGAUCAUAGCAAUCAUCAUAGCAUUCAUCCUUCGGUAAGCACGAAGGGAAAUUAAACAAUGUAUGAUUUGAAGAGUUACUCUCAUUAGAAGGUGGGCACGGGUAGUUAAUCCGCUCUUCCUCCUUUUGUUCUUCGCUCUUCUCAUCAUCUUUUUCAUCUAAUGAGCUCAUAGUGUCAUCAUUUUCUUCUUCCAUAGUUUCCUGCAAAAUAUUAGUUUCUUCUUGGACAGCGGAGACUUCCUCAAUAAAUGCAUCAAUAUCGGCAUUGUAUUCAUAAUUCUCAUAGCAAUAUUUAAGUAUAGCAAAAAAAUUAGGCCUAUAAACAUCAUCAUCAAAAGCUUCAUACUUUUCAAACAAAGAUUCAGUUUCAUAAGCACCCUUAAAAGCAACAAAUUCUUAUAUUUGUUCCACAUUAUAGUAGUCAUAUAUACCAUUAGCAUAAGAAGCCAAGAUUUCAUUAUCAUUAAAUCUACAAUAAAAGGGAAGGUGUCGAGCCUUCAUCCUAGAGAAACAAGUAUAAUCAUAUCUUUGGCAUAAAUUCCAAGCAUACCAAUGCAACAUAUGAAUUUGAUACCAUAAUAGUUUCCCUUUCAAGCGAUAAUCCCUAAAGUAUUCACAUUGAUCCAACGUGUCUCCCAUUAUCAAGUUGAAUGGGGUUUUCUCAGGAUUGUCAAAGUAGUGUUCAAUAUUUUUCACAUAACGAGCAUCGAGGGUUUUAGGAGGUUCCCCAUCUCCAUGAGUAGCAGGUACACCUAUUUUUUUGCUAUUUCAUGUUCCAUAUCCAUAACUAAAGAUAGAUAACAACUUAGAAUAACAAAUGAAAUCUACGUAGUGAUAAAGCAAACAAGCACACACGAGAAUAUUCAGCCCAUGCUAUUGCUCCCUGGCAAGGGCACCAGAAAAAGGUCUUGAUAACCCACAAGUAUAGGGGAUCAGUUGUAGACUCUUUUGAUAAGUAAGAGUGUCAAACCCAACGAGGGCUAAAGGUAGAACAAAUAUUCCCUCAUAUUCUAUCGACCACCGAUACAACUCUACGCACGGUUAAUGUUCACUUUACCUAGAACAAGUAUGAAACUAGAAGUACUUUGUAGUGUUGUGGGAUAGGUUUGCAAAAUAAUAAAGAGCACACAAAUAAAAACUAGAGGCUUUUUAGAUAAAGUAACAAUUAAGUUAGUUCAACGAGUGUGGAAAAGUGGUGGUAGGAGUUGCGGAAUUGCCCCUAAGAAAUUUACUACGUUACUAGACCGAAGCAAGUUUUAUGUGGGAGAGGCCACUGCUAGCAUGUCACCCCUUACUUGGAACUCUAUGCACUUAUGAUUGGAACUAUUAGCAAGCAUCCAUGACUAACAUUCAUUAAGGUAAAACCCAACCAUAGCAGUAAGAUAUAUUGCCCCCCCCUUCAAUCCCGUAUGCAUCAAUUUCUAUGCUAGGCUGAAGCUGCUAUCACCCUUGCCCUCCAAUACAUAGUCCUAUCAACAUACAACUAACCCUAUGGUGUGAUCCACGUGCGCGCUCAUACGAUGGGCACCAAAGGACAACAACAUAACCACAAGAAAAUUAAACCAAUCAUAGCAAUUCACCAAUCACUGAUAGGACAACAAAAAUCUACUCAGACAUCAUAAGAUGGUAACACAUCAUUGGAUAAUAAUAUGAAGCAUAAGGCACCAUGUUCAAGUAAAGGUACAGUGGGUUGCGGGAGUGGACUGCUGAAUAUAGAUGGGGGGAGGUGAUGAAGAUGUUGGGGAAGAUGACAGAGGUGUUGGUGUAGAUCGCCGUCACAUGAUGAUUGCCCGUGGCGUUCCGGCGCCACCGGGAGAGAGGGGGAGAGAGACCCCCUCCUUCUUCUUCUUCCUUGACCUGCCCCCUAGACAGGAGGAGGGUUUCCCCUCUGGUCCUUGGCUUCCAUGGUGGCGGAGGGGCGAGAGCCCCUUCGAGAUUGGAUCUCUCUCUCUCUCUCUCUCUCUCUGUGUGUGUGUGUGUGUGUGUGUGUGUGUGUGUGUGUGUGUGUGUGUGUGUGUGUGUUUCCUUCUGUUUCUCCGUUCCCAGAUUCUGGACUUUCACCAUUUCUUAAAUUCCCGGAGAUCCGUAACUCCGAUUGGGCUGAAAUUUUAACAUGAUUUAUAUCCGGAUAUUAGCUUUCUUGCGGCGAAAGAAGGGCACAGACCGCCUUAUGGGGUGACCACAAGGGUCCAGGGCGCGCCCCUGUGGCUUGUGGGCCCAUCGAGCAUCGCCUCGCGUUGAUUCUUUUUCCCAAAAAUCACAUAUAUUCCAAAAAAAUCUCCGUAAGUUUUUAUCGCGUUUGGACUCCGUUUGAUAUGGAUAUGUUAUGAAACAAAAAAGAUGCAACAAACACAAACUGGCACUAGGCACUGGAUCAAUAUGUUAGUCCCAAAAAUAGUAUAAAACUUGCCAAAAGUAUAUGAAAGUUGUAGAAUAUUGGCAUGAAACAAUCAAAAAUUAUAGAUACGACGGAGAUUUAUCACUCUGUUCUCCAUGAUUAGUGAUUUGUUAUGCUGUGGUAUGCUUUAGUUGUGGUACGCUUGUGCAUGUGUUACUGCUAGUUUGAUCUGUCCAUGAUGUAAUGCUAGUUCGAUCUGUCCAAGAUGUACUGCUAGUUCGAUCUGUCCAUGUUGUAUUGCUAUUUCAUAUUGUCCAUGUGUAGUGUCUUGUGGUGUUGAUGACACUUACGUUUGUAGGACAUGACCACACAAGAGUUUAGUCAGGCCAUUGUGCUGUCCAACAGCCAGUUCCCGCCGUCCUACGUCGAGGACUCCCAGCCUCCUCUGGAACAGAUGCCUCUUGAUUCAGAGGUUUUCGAGGUGCCACCUAUGGUUCCUCUAUUUGUGCUAGCUCAGCCCAAUGUUGUUGCUCAUGCUGCUGCUGUAAAGGCAGCAGCAAAAGAGAAGAAGGAUGGCAGGGGGAACAACAUGAAAUGGCAGCCGUUCCUCUCCACUUUUGUGCUUAACAAGAUGUGUGAGAUCAUAGCUAGUGAGGUAAGGACUGACAAGGGCUUCAAGGAGGUGCACUUGAACCUUGUUGCAAAGCAGGUGUUCGACUUCUAUGGAUAGGAGGUCACCUCGACCCAGGUGUACAACCGCCUGAGGAAGUGGAGAGCGAGGUGGAUCACCGCGUCCAAGAUCAGAGACCUCAGCGGUGCUUCAUGGGACAAGGACACCUGCACGAUCCUUCUGGAGGCAGAGCACUAACAAGGCUACAUCACGGUUAGCUCACAAACCAUGCCAUUCUAACAAACCAGCAGUUCAAUCCUAUGAACCAUUGCCAUACUAACUAACCUCUCUGCCCUAUUUCUUCUAAAGAUCACCCAAAGACGCAGAGUUCCUCAACACCCCUAUCCAGAACCACCACCAGAUGCAGCAGAUCUUCUCCUUCGGGCUGGCAACCAGCAAGCAUGCCAUGGGCUCUUGUCAGCCGCUGGGCUCGCCGAUGCUGGAGUAUCCAGACACCCAGGAGUCAGACACCAUCAACGUUGAUGCUCCUGAGAAGGAUGGUGAGAAUGUUCAUGUGCUCGAUAGGAAGAGGAAGAUGGCGGGCUUCAUGCAGGAGGAGCUGAGCGUCUUCAGCGGCAUGACUGAGGCAGUGAAGGAGGUGGCUACCGCCAUCAGGGAGAGCAAGAGUGUGGACGUCCACCCUUAGCUAUACAGCGCCAUCAUGGAGCAGAUUGGCUUCAGCCCAGAGGCUCUCAUGGUUGGCUCUCAGCCACCUGCUGGACAACAAAGCCCAGGGUGUUGGGUUUGUUGCCAUGGGAGCAGCCCGCAGGGUGCUCUGGCUGAGGACAUGGCUGGGCAAGCACUACUACUAGUGCUGCUUCUGCUGGUGGCGACGGCGUGCAUGAUCCUCGACAGUGAUGGCGACAAGGACGACGAGGACGAUGAUGACGUAUAUUUUGUGUAGUUAGGGCUUGAAAGCAAUCUUAUGGUGUGUACAUUUUGGUGAGGUGGUGUAUACUAACACCUCACGGUGAUCCUUGCGGUGAUCAUGAACUUGCGGUGGUAGGAUGACACCCUCUUUUGGAUGUGGUGGUAGGAUGACACCAAAGUAGUGCUAGGUUGAACUUGCUAUGAUCAUGCAUGCUUACUAAUGCUCUUCUGCUCCAUUGCUUGCUCCUAUAGUUCUUCAUUGCUUGUUGUUUGUGUGUUCCAAUGCUUGUUGCUUGAACUUAUUGCUCGUUUGCACUGCCAGGACAAGUGAUAUGCGGUGUUCGAAGGUAGGGAUCCAGGGGUUUACAGUUCAUGGGAAGCUUGCAACAAACAAGUUUCAGGGUACAAUGACAGCAACAACAAAGGAGGGUUUAAGACUAGGUAGGCGACAGAAGAUGCUUACUCCAAGUAUGUGCGAGAGCAUUCAUGCAGCAAGGUUGAGGUUGGCAAGAAGGUGGAUCGAUCGUUAGGGCUGAAGAACUUCAUCAUGUUCGUCCAGUUCAUCAUCAUAGCAGUGUUGUGGCGUUGGUGUGCUCGGUGUGAUCAUGUGUACUCCCUCCGUCCGCGAAUAAGUGUACAUCUAGCUUUUGCUCUAAGUCAAAGUUUUAAAAUUUUGACCAACUUUAUAGAAAAUAGUAGUAACAUAUAUGACAUCAAAUUGAUAUAUUAUGAAAGUACAUUUCAAAACGAAUCUAGUGAUACUAAUUUGGUGCCAUAAAUGCUUUUACUCUUUCCUAGAAAGGUGGUCAAAGUAUUAAAACUUUGACUUAAAACAAAAGCUAGAUGUACACUUAUUCGCGGACGGAGGGAGUAGGGUGUAGUAGUAUUGGUAAGAUCACCAAGUAGGGUACAAGGUGAGCACAACUCUAUGCUCACAUGUAACCAAACAACGUGCACCCGUGUGAGCACAUACAAUGCGAGCAACCAAACGCGAUGCAUAGAGGCAUCGUUAUGAUGUAGGGAGAGGACAUGCAUGCAACCAAACUAAGUGUAGAUGUUGGUUUUUGGCCUGCAUUUGCUCAGCCAGGCCCAACUGGGACAAGUAUGCAAAUGGGCAAAAAAUGAUGCAGGUAACCAAACACGCCCAUAGUGUUGCGGCGCUAAACUAGCUGGGUGGUUGUGUGUGCUGUUUUGCACCUAGACGUGCGUGGUGGUGCUGGGCCUUGGUCGCAUGGCCUAUGUUCGAUCUGGCCGGACUUUGCCCCCAGAUUUGAUAGCCGAAGGCUCGUUGGCUGCUUGGGUGGUAGCCGGAUGUGCACGUUGGCUCCUCUAGCGGGUGUGUCAUCUAUGGCAGCGUUCCACUGAGACCAAAGGUGUGUUGGUCAUUACCUAGCAUGGACCGGCUGGGCGUUGCUGGGAAAUGUAGUAGAAAACAAAAAAAAC
Molecule: long non-coding RNA, 62738 nt
Filed under: Triticum aestivum (bread wheat)
Lineage: Eukaryota; Viridiplantae; Streptophyta; Magnoliopsida; Poales; Poaceae
Description: long non-coding RNA (TAES_LNC022626)
Source: RNAcentral